ACAAAACCAACCUGAAAAAUCAUCAAAAUCUCAAAUAGACAUUUAAACCAAAAGUUUUGGAAACCACCACUGCCUCUAAUAACACCACAACUACUACAAAAUAUAACAAAAUUCGACUGAGUGCUUCUACAACAUCAUCAUGUCAACAUGCAAGCAUUACAUUAAUUACCAACCUUUCUACGAAGUGCAUGACACACCAAAUAUUAGACAAGUACUUAAUAAACAUGAGUUCCCCAACUAUACAUUACAUACUAUGAAAUGGCCUCUUUCGCUUUCAGCAGGCUUUUCCCAGUAUUUCAAAAAUCAACGGUCUCCUGAUAGGAAAAACAUGACAAAAAUAUGAGUUUGUAACUCAGUGAGUGAAUGAUUUGUAAAUAAGUAAACUUUUUCCAUUUAUGCAUAUUUUUUAAAAAUUCUUACUUUAUUAAAUCCUUGAGAAUUUUUGAAUCUAGUAAUACUUUUAAAAACUAAACAUGAUUACAUUAUAAAAUUCUUUGUUCUAAAUUCUAGAUAAGUAUCUGUAAGGUAUAACAAAUAUAAAGAAUCUGAUAUUCAUGAAAAUCUAUGAAAUAUUGCUGCUGCUCAAUAGUAUAAGCUGAAAGCUUUAUUCUGAAAAUUGAAUUAACUGACUUUCAUAAUCUGAAAUCUGAGAACUGAAUAAAUACUGAAAAAUCACACCAAAAAGAGUACCCAAUGAAUAGCCUUACACAUGAAACAGAUGCGUAUGCUCUCUGGAAGAUUCUGGAGGACAUGUACCAAGCCAAGACCGCGCGAAACAAAGCCCUGUUGAUGAGGCGUUUGGUGAAUCUGAAAUUAAAGAGUGGAACUUCAGUUGCUGAGCACACCAGUGAAUUUCAGAGCUUGGUAAACCAAUUUUCAUAUGUGGAGAUGCCACUUGGGGAUGAAAUACAAGCUUUACUACUUUUAAGUUCUCUUCUUAAUAGUUGGGAGACGUUAGUAGUAUCUCUUAGCAACUUAGCCCCUAAUGGCAAACUUACCAUGUCUAUGGUUAAGGAUGCCCUAUUUAAUGAAGAGCCCAGAAGAAAAGACGUAGACACGGACCAAUCACAUGCCCUUGUCACAGUGAACCGGGGAAGACAACAAGGAGGCGUUCGAGGCAGGGGGAGAGGUAGAAGCAAAAGUAGGGGUAGAUCUAUAGAUGGAAGGAAGCCUACUUAUAAGUGCAACUAUUGUGGUAUGGAGGGCCACUUGAAGAAGAACUGCAGAAAAUUGCUACGAGAGCAAGGCCACAACAGUUCGCAGCCGAAAAAUAAGGAAGGAGAGAUACUAGUCACUAUUUCUGGAGAGGUGGCUAUCUGCUCCAUCCAUGAGAAGACAUGUCUUCAUGUCUCAAACCAAGAUAUUGAGUGCGUAAUAGACACUGCAGCAUCUUAUCACGCCACUCCACGCAAAGAUUUCUUCACAACAUACAAAGUCGGCGACUUUGGUGCAGUGAAGAUGGGAAAUACCAGUUCUUCUAAGAUUAUAGGAAUUGGUGAUAUUGAGAUACAAAUGAACCUCGGGUGUAAAAUAACCAUGAAGGACGUUCGACAUGUACCUGAUCUUCGGCUAAAUCUACUUUCAGGGAUAGCCCUUGACAAACAGGGCUAUGUCAAUCAAUUUAGCAAUGGCACAUGGAAAAUGAUGAAAGGUUCCAUGGUUGUCGCUCGAGGACAUAUAUGUGGCACUUUAUACAAGACUCAUAUGAAAAUGCAUGCGGAUAGCCUCAACGUAGUGGAACGCGAACCUUCUCAAAAUUUGUGGCACCAAAGACUUGGUCACAUGAGUGAGAAGGGAUUGUCUACUUUGACCAAGAAGGAGCUAAUCACAGUUGCUAAGGAAGCUGUGCUGGAUCCUUGCAGUCACUGUCUAUUUGGUAAGCAACAUAGAGUCUCCUUCAAUUUCUCUUCUACGAGACGAUCAGAGUUGCUCAAUCUAGUACACUCUGAUGUUUGUGGUCCCUUGGAGGUUGAAUCACUAGGCGGUAACAAGUAUUUUUUAACAUUCAUUGAUGACGCUUCUCGAAAGGUGUGGGCAUAUUUCUUGAAGACAAAGGAUCAAGUAUUGGAUUACUUCAAAUCAUUUCAUGCCAUGGUAGAGCGUGAAAUAGGAAAGAAGCUGAAAUGUCUCCGCAUAGAUAAUGGAGGCGAGUAUACUUCCAAAGAGUUUGAUGCCUAUUGCAAGACAUACGGCAUUCGACAUGAGAAGACGGUCCCACGUACUCCACAACAUAAUGGAGUCGCUGAGAGGAUGAAUCAGACAAUCAUGGAAAAGGUCAGAAGCAUGAUAAGUAUGGCUAAGCUGCCAAAGCCAUUUUGGGGAGAAGCUAUUCGAACCGCCUGCUACUUGAUCAACAGAUCACCAUCUGUACCGUUGAAUUUUGAAAUUCCGGAGAACGUAUGGUCUGGUAAAUAUCCCUCCUACUCUCACCUGAGAGUAUUUGGCUGUUUAGCCUUUGCACAUGUAUCCAAGGAGCUAAGACAAAAGCUAGAUGCAAGGACCACUCCAAGCAUCUUUAUAGGCUAUGGAGAUGAGGAAUUUGGAUACAGAUUAUGGGACCCAAAAACAAAGAAGGUCAUCAGAAGCAGGGACGUAGUGUUCCAUGAAAACCAAAAAUUAGAAGACAUUGAAAAGCACACAAUAUCUCCUAAUUCUAAUUUUGGUGCCCAAAAUAUUGCUCCAGAUCCAGCACCAACACAAUUCACCAUAGAUAACGACGAUGAGCAUGAGGAAAUGCCGGAAGCAGAACAGGAGGAUGAAGAAGGGGAUAUUGAUUAGGGGGAGUCACAAUCCUCUUCACCAGAAGUUGUUGGACCAUCACAUCAUUCAGAUGAUGAUGUACCUCCUGAAAUCAACGAUCCAUAGGUAAGAAGAUCUGAACGAGGACGGAUUCCAUCAACGAGAUAUCCAGAAUCAGAGUACCUUUUGCUCACUGACGAAGGAGAGCCAGAGAGCUUUCUGGAAGCACAAACUCAUGUGGACAAAGACAAGUGGAUACAAGCAAUGCAGGAUGAGAUGGAGUCACUGCAGAAAAAUCAAACAUAUGAGUUAGUUGAGCUUCCGAAGGGAAAGAAGACAUUAAGGAAUAAAUGGGUUUUCAAGCUCAAGAAAGAUAGCAGUGGAAAGGUGAUAAAACAUAAAGCCCGUUUGGUAGUCAAAUGAUUUCUUCAGAAGAAGGGAGUUGACUUUGACGAGAUUUUUUCACCUGUUGUAAAAAUGGCCUCAAUUUGAGUUAUCCUUGGAUUAGUAGCCAAUCUGAAUCUAGAGCUUGAACAGAUGGAUGUCAAAACAGCAUUUCUUCAUGGUGAUUUAUAUGAAGAAAUUUAUAUGGAGCAGCCAGAAGGUUUUGAAGUUUCAGGGAAAGAAAACUUCGUUUGUAAGCUAAAGAAGAGCUUAUAUGGUCUUAAGCAAGCACCUAGGCAAUGGUACAAAAAGUUUGACUCUUUCAUGGUGAGUCAAGGCUAUAAAAGAAUAGCUGCGGAUCAGUGCGUUUAUAUUCAACACUUUUCGGAUGGCAAUUUUGUUGCUCUUCUAUUGUAUGUAGACGACAUCCUGAUCGUCGGACAGGAUGCAACAAAAAUCAGGCAGCUGAAGAAGGAACUCUCCAAGUUCUUCGACAUGAAGGACUUAGGCUCAGCUCAACAGAUUUUGGGAAUGCACAUAACUCGAGAUAGGAAGAAUAGAAGGCUGUGGCUAUCCCAAGAGAAGUAUGUUGAACGAGUGAUCAAGAGAUUCAACAUGCAUAAUGCCAAAUCUGUCAACACUCCAUUGGCCAACCACUUCAAGUUGAGCAAAAGUUCAUGCCCCUCAUCCAAGAAAGAGAUUGAGGAAAUGUCAUUCAUACCUUAUUCUUCAGCAGUUGGAAGCCUGAUAUAUGCCAUGGUAUGUACAAGGCCAGAUAUUGCCCAUGCAGUAGGCAGGUAAAGAAAUGUUGUGGUUAAAGAGAUUUCUCCAAGAAUUAGGGAUCAAGCAGAAAGAUUAUAAAGUACAUUGUGACAGCCAGAGUGCUCUUGACUUGAGUAAGAACUCAAUGUAUCACUCUCGAACAAAGCACAUUGACAUUCGCUAUCAUUGGAUAACAGAGGUGAUGGAUCAACAGCUGUUGAGACUAGUAAAGAUUCACACAAAUGAGAAUCCAGCAGAUAUGUUAACAAAGGUGGUUAUAAGGGAGAAGUUAAAGCUAUGCAGAGACAUAGCUGGGUUAGUUGUCCGAUAGCAAUUGAUUUGAAUGCGACUGGAGGGGGAGAAUUGAUAUAUUCCAGCCGCAUUCAAGAUUCUUCCAUGCCGCAAUUGUUGAAAUUUCAACUGUUUAAUAAACAAGUAAUUCCCAUCAACAUGCAUGCGUGAAGGAUGAAGAAGAAAAUUUGAAUUAAAACUCUCCACCUUUUGACGGCCACAUCUUCAAUUGCUUAAUGGAGAAGAAAUCUAUGCAAGAAGAGAAUUUGAAAUGAAAUUCUCUGGCCGCAAUUCUUGAUUGGUUUUUGGCCACAAGUUUAUGACGGUUUGUAGCCAAGAUUUUUCUAUAAAUAUGAGUUACCGUAAAGAGAAUUAAUAUGUCCCUUGAGAGGAAGAAAAAUAGGAUAGAGAAGAGAGAAAAAAAGAGAGAUUAGAGAGACUCUUUUGAGAGGGUUUUUUUUGAGUUUGUAAACUCCGUUGUAAAUUCUAUUCAAGUAGAAAUAGAAUUGUUUUUCCUCUUUUAUUUUCUCUUCACAUGAUCGGAGAAUCACAACAAGAAUGCGAGGUUAAUAGGGUCAUAGUGGACACUAAUUUCAUCCAACCCAUUUUUGAGUUGGAGAUCGAAGAAGAUAAAGUUGUUGCUGCUACUGGUGUUGGCAUUAUCCAAUCUGUUGAGAGCGGGAACAUAAAAGUUCUUUACUGAGCAACUGGGACUCUCUUUAAUGGUCUUUACUGUGAUCAAAAUGAUCAAAAGGGUGAUAAUGAAGACGAUUAUCAGGCAGCAAAAUUUGUAUAAGAUAAAGAUAGGAUGCGCCAUAGCCCUUAUGUCGUCCUCCCAACUCAUUAUGAAAUUGUGGCUCUUUGAAGAUAAAGAACUGAAUUUAUGAAUACAUCAAGACGAUAUGCUGUUUGAAUUUAUAGCCCCAGUUUCAAUAACAUGUGUGACAAUAUUUACAAGUUCUCCAAGUGUUGACCAAGUUUUGGAAGCAUUCUCACCAAUGCAUUAUUCAAAAGGGCUAAAACAAGCCCCUAGUAUUGUUAUUGGACAAAUGUAAUAUACCUUGCAUUUGAAGUCAAUGGCUAUUUUUGACCUCCAAAUCAAGGGUAUAAUCGGAAACCAAAACAUAGCUGGUUGCAAUGGUUGGAAAGAUCUCAAGGACUGGCGUCACUGGCCCAGUUGACUUAAUAUUUUAAUCAAAGUUUAAAUUUAAGAAGAUUAUAAAAAACGCCCGUAGUUUGUUGAAUAAAAAGCCAUAUAUAUUGAACUCUGUUCAGCGCCUAAGAUGCAAGAUUAACCUUAAAGAAAGACUUCCAAGUCAUCAACAACCACAUGGGAUUAUUAAUGUGUGACGCGUGGGGCCACCAUAUUUAGAAGUCAUGUUCUCGAUAUGUGUUAUUAUAUCUAACUCCGUUUGAGCCACAUUAUUAUAAAAAUGAGAAUGAAAAAUAUAGUCAUUGUCCACAUAAGAGAUAAAAAUUCAAAUAAGGUGGUUUGAUGUGAUGGAUAACGAUCAUAUUUUUCAUCUUAAAGAGGAAUUAAUGGAGCUUAAACAGGGCCUUGCACUUGAUAAUUUACUAACAUUUUAAUAUGUAUCUUUCUAGGAUAAUGAUAUUUGUACAAAAUCUUGUUCACAAAAUGGUGUACCCACUCUCACAAAAUUAGCGGACCCCAUGUGAAUUUAAAAAAUGUCGAUUUGUGGUCCCCAUUGCCAUCGUGAGUAGUAAGUAAGAGAGUCUGUUAAAAAAAUUUGUACACGUAACAUGAUCCUUCUUUCUACACACAUUUGUGCUUGGCAUUCAUACAACGUGUUAUUUUAGAUUUUAUUAUCUUUGGGAAAUUAGAAGAAUACAUAUUCCAUUUAAUAAAAUUAAUAUUUCAGGCUUAAAUUUUCAAGCUGAAAGAUUUUGUUAAAACAAAAAUAAAAUAAAAAUACACAUUAAUCUACUACAAUCUCUAUAGUAGAGUACAUGGUAACAAAAGUAAAUGACCUAUUAUCUUGAAUCCCUGUUGAGUCCUUCAACAAUGUAAAACUCUUCUACUUCAUUUUCUUGGUUUGUUAUAUGUCAUCAUUCUCAUUUUGUUAAACAGGAAAUACUUCCCACCCAAAAAAUCGUUACUUCACCAACAAACGCUAAGAUGAGAGGGUAAAUCACAAAUUAUGACCAAAUAUUAAGUCAAUGUCUACUCCUAUUUUCUGUUGCCGGAAGCGAUUUUCUCCAUCAAUUAUGUGGGGGUCAGUUUAAUUUUUAUAAUAUAUUGUGGUAGCCUCAUUAUGACAGCAAAAAUGAAAAAUUUCCAUCAAUUUGUGACUUUUUUUUUUUUUUUUAUCAUAAAGUUGAAGUUUUUCUUGACUGAAUUUCAAUUAGGGGAAGACUUUGACACAAUUACGCUUCAUUAGAUCUUGUGAAUUUAUUGAGAGAGACGUUUAGAUCCUUAAGCACACUUGUUGAGGGGCGUAUGUUGUGCUUGUAGAAAUUAUAUAAAUAUCCUAGUGAAUCUAUACAAACGUAUAGGCCUUAGAUUUUUUUAUUUUAAAAAAUUCAGAAUCAAAUUUUGUUAAAAAUUUGCUAAAUAGGUUAAGGUAGAUUCACCACUUCAAUUUACAAGAUUGUCUUUGUUGACUCCAAAAAAUAUCGUCAACAGAUGUCAGUCCCACCCGCGCACACGUGGGCGAAUGUCCAACACCCUAAGACGCGUGGACGGUCUAAAACGAGCAGUUCAAAGGGCGUGGGAGUAGCCCAACGACGCGGGACGGUGACGUUCAGAAUCUGGCAGGUUGUUCGUGAUCUGAUUGUAUAAUAAUUACCAACCGGAGUUCGUAAAUGUAUAUGUAAAUGUGUAUAAACUCAAUUUGUGUAUUGCAAGUAAAAGAGAGAGAGUUGAGUAAAGUGUAGUUCUUUGUAUUGAUUCUUGCAUUAGCCUUUUAAUGUUACACAAGGGAAGUAUUUAUAGUGGUACACGUGAAAUGGGGAGCCCUUGGAUGAGGUGGCACGUGGCCUCAUCUCUUUGAUUUAAAUAUCUUAUCAGGCAUGAUGUUUGACUUGCUAACUUGUGGCGCAUUUAUUACUUGUGCAGAGCCCCCAUACUAGUGACAAGAUUUGACCUUUAUGCUUAUGACAAACAUUCCAUCAAUCAUUCGAAUAAGAUCUUUAUGCAGACGAUCUCUUGGGAGAAGUGAACAUGGAGGACAUUCCCUUGUGGUUCGGAGGCUCCUGCAUCAGCUUCGGGGUUUCAGCCAUUUCACACAAUACUUCCGCUUGAGGGCUUCAACUAUCUUCAACUAGCUUCGGCAUCAUGGAUUCGGUUCAUGGGCCUCGCCAUGUGGACCUCGGGUACGUCACAGGCCUCGGUAAAAGGGAGCCUUGGCUAGUGGACUUCGGUUUGAAGGGCUUCGGCCAUUGCCCACCUCGGCAAUAUAUGCCACCUCAGCUGGAGUGCCACGUGGUUCGGCCUGAGUGGGCCAUUGGCCCAGGUAGGUUGGCCAAGUAUGACAAUACACAACAAUAGUCCCCCAAGUUCAAGUAUAGAUAUUUAUGUCAUGGUUGGAGUUAGAGAUGUGCUGCUGUAGAUGAACGAUGAAGAGCCCGAGGAUGUGUUGAAGAUGAGGCCGAGGUGAUUGGGAAACCGAACUGCGAGGCUUGUUGGCUGAAUGUUGAAGUUGAAGCCGAGGUGGUUGGGGAAUCAAACCUGCGAGGCUUGUUGGCUGAAUGUUGAAGAGGAAGCCGAGGUGGUUGGGGAAUCAAACCUGCGAGGCUUGUUAGCUGAAUGUUGAAGUUGAAGACGAGGCUCAAUGGGAAUGAUUGUGCGUUGAUAGCUGUGCCAAUGAUUUGAUGUUUUAUGCUUGUUUUCGAGGAAAAGUGGCUGACCCGUACGACUUCCAAGGCGCCUGCUGCCAUCGAAUUAAAAAUACAAUUAUGAUGGCAGCUGGAGCUUCUAGAAGCAGAUGCGUUGGAUGGGGUGCUUGGGAAGCACGCUGGAAUUUGAGGUGCAGGUUUGAAAAACCGUUUGAAUUCAACGCCUCGGAUUUAUUCUACAAUGAAGGGCUCAGAUUGACUGAGAUUCGAUCUGAUAGUUGGGGUUUGUCUUGGACCUCUAUAAAAGGUGAGAAAAUUCUAUUUUUCAGGAUUUUUGAACACUUGCAAUCUGAUUCUCUCUCAAAAUCUUGAACUUUUCGGCGUCGAGGCUGCCUGUUCUUUGAUUUUUCGGCCUAUCUCCAUUUGCGUAGUUCUUCCCUUAGGUAUUAUUGGCAGAAAAACCCUUUUUGUUGUGUUAAUUUUGUGAAAUAGAGUCCACCUCGAGUAGGGAGCUGGUGACUGUAGCGUCGUUAGAUUAUGGGGUCAGUCAGAGGGGGGAUGCCGAGGCUAAUAGGUAUGCCAUGACCGAGGACCCAGUAGAUUAUACUGAAGAGUGGGGGCGUCUAGGGUGCCUUCAAGUAUGACGUGGAGGAGGUUGGUGGAGAUCAGGGAGAGAUACAGUGUCCCUCAAACCAUAGAAAUGUUAGUUCCCGAGCUAAACGAGCGGGCCUACUAUCCGAGGCCCGGUUGUGUGGCAGUCAGUGAAUACCUGUUUAAGGCAGGUAUGCGUCUUCCUCUGCGCCCCUUCUUUAGGGCGGUGCUGAGGAAUUUUAUGUUGUUGCCGACCCAGGUUCUGCCAAAUGGGUGGAGCCAGUUGGUCGGCUCGUACUUCCUGUGGAAGGAAGUGUCACUUGGGAAGGACAUGCCUCUCCAUGUAUUCAUGACCCUUUUCCAGCCUCGGGUCAUAGGGAAGGAGUCCAUGGGGUGGUAUUAUCUUACACCUUGGGGGGCUCACGCACCCUUUGUGGUGGGACUGCCUUCCUCCAUCAAGGGGUGGAAGGAGUCCUGGUUCUGGGUGCGAGGAAAAUGGCAGGCAGUGGAGGGGGACAAGGCUCUUUCUUGCACAGUGCCAACCCAGUACUACGAAUCUCGUGAGUCUCCCAGCCCCUGCUUGUACUUCUGAAUUGAACACUUGAACUUUUCUAACUGUUGGGGACUUCCAUUGCAGAUUGUAGAUCGAGGUUCAAGCUCAGCAGGGAAGAGUUUGAGGUGAUAGAGGACAUCUACAAGAAAUCUCUGAAGCUCCGCCACUUUGACCACCCGAUCGACAGGAGUCGCUACUUCCUGGAUUUUGGAAUGAUGGCUUCCAGAGGUAUGAGGCUCCCAUAGUUGUAAAUUUUCUUGUCCUUUUGUUUAGAUACUGAUGUGCUGACCUGACGUGCUAUGCAGAUAAAUUCAAGAGGAGGGAGUACCCAACUCCGGACAUGGUUACAAUUCUGAAGGCCACCACCACUGUCAAGGUGAGGCCCCUGAAGUCGGGGUCCAGUGGGGCCAAGGAGGUCAGAGGCAGGGUGGAAUGCCUUUCCAAGGAUAGCACAACAAAGGCUUCCGAAGAGGGGGCUCCCCAGAAGCUAAGAGGAGGAAGCUUGUGCACGUCACCAGCUCAUCAGGGAAAUUUGGGACAUCAGUGUCCCACGAGGCUAAAUCAACAGGCGAGCCAAAGCUAUUCGCAUCCGCCUCCAAAGCCAUCAAAAUAGAGAUGGUCAGAGAGGCCGAGGUUGAGGAGGCCAGAGAGGAGGCUGCGAGGAGAGCUGCUGAGGCUGCUGAGGAGGAGGCAGCAAAACUGGUGGAAGGAAGGAGACCUUGGCCCCAGCCUUGGUGGAGGCUCUUCCCCAGGAGGUCUGGAGCGCCACAGAAAACUUUUACCAAUUUUGGACGGACAGGUGGCAGCUGCAUGCUUGCGAUGCCACCGACCUGAUGAGGGCUUUGGUGAGCCAAAGCGUCAGAACCUUUGGCCCCGCUUUUGAAUGCAGGGAGGCCCUGAGUGAUUUUCAGACAAGGACCCAGUCUUCGGAGGAGUCGCAGAGGAGUUGAAGGCAGCUAGGGCCUUGGCGGAAGAAGCCAGGGCCCAAAAACUUGAAGAAUUGGCCAAGUUGGAGUCUGCCUUAGCCCAGAUUGAGGCCUUGAAGAAGGAAGUCCAUGAGUCACAGUGCGAGGUGGCCUCCCUGACAAAGAAGGUGGAGGUCUCCAAUGAGCACCAGAGAGUGACCGCCGAGGCCCUGGAGAAGGGAAAUCUCUCCUUAGCGGGUGCCCAAAAGGCUUACCAAUUCUUGGAAACCCAAAUCAAGUGGUAUGUGGAUGAUGCCUCCCAUGCCAGAGAGGAGGAUCAACAGGCGAGGGAGGAGGCGAUGCAGGAAUACGUCGCCAACUUCCAUAACACAGAGGAGUAUAAGAGCUUCGGUGCUUACUGGAGAAACUUUGCCUAUGCUGAGGUGAUGGAGCAAGCAGAGGAACUGUAUCUCAAUUUGGAUCUGACUCAACUCAGGUCUGAAUUUGUGGACGAGGUACCUCAGACCCCUGCUGAGGAGGUGCAGGGAAAUGAAGCAGCUGAGGUAGAGGAGAUAAAUGCCGAUGCUCAAGCUGCCGAAGCCCCAAGUACUGAGGCUCCUCCCCCAUCUACCCAGGCUUAGAUUAGUUUUCUUUUUAGUCUUUCGAAUGUAAUGGCCUGAGGCCCACUUUUGUAAUCUUUGUUGAAGAUCAAUAUGAUGCCUUUUUCAUUCAUUGUUGUUUCAUUGUUGUUUCUUUAUCCAAGUGUACGCGCCUCGUUAAGCAAAUGAACUUAAAAGUUGACAGAAGCACUAACUGAAUAACUUUAACUUGGUACCUUAACUUCAAUCACUUUAAACAACUGGAUUGAACGACUAUAUGAACCUCGGACUUAAGCAAAUGAACUUUACUUAAGCAUAAUAACUGUAUGAGCCUCGGACAUAAGCGAAUGAACGACUGUAUGAGCUUCGGACUUAAGCAAAUGAACUUUACUUAAGCAUAAUAACUGUAUGAGCCUCGGAUUGCACGUGAGGUGGCUUCUCCCAUUGGCGUUAAGGGAGGCAUGUGCUAGUGCCUCAGAGUUCAAGCGAGGUGGCCCAGAGGUGGGACGCGAGCCUCUCCUCCGAGGUGACGACGCAUCCCAGACAUGGUGGAUGCUGUAGCCAUGUUGAGGCUUCUCCCCUUGGCAUUCAGCCAGGCCAAAGGGAGGCAUGUACUAGCACUUCGAAGUUCAAGCGAGUUGGCCUAGAGGUGGGACGCGAGCCUCUCCUCCGAGGUGACGAUGCAUCCCAGACAUGGUGGAUGGUGCAGCCAUGUUGAGGCUUCUCCCCUUGGCGUUCAGCCAGGCCAAAGGGAGGCAUGUGCUAGCACCUCGGAGUUCAAGCGAGGUGGCCCAGAGGUGGGAUGCGAGCCUCUCCUCCGAGGUGACGACGUAGUACAACACGUUAAUUUAAUCAUUGGAAUUUAUUGAACCAUAGAAAUAUUACAAAGGCUGGAAAAGGUCAUCCAGCAAGAUAGCACAUUUAUUGGUAAUAGAUCCUGAGGUGUUCUACGUUCCAUGGACAGGGUUGUGCCUUUCCGUUCGUGUCUUCAAUCGAGUAAGUCCCAGGUCAAACCUCUUCUCUGAUUUUGUAUGGACCUUCCCAGUUCGAGCCUAAGGAAACGGAACCGGGUUUUUUUGAGGACAGGAAGACCCUUCUGAGUACGAGGUCGUUGAUUCGGAAUGACCUCUUCUUAACUUUCGAGUUGAAGUACCUUGUCAUCUUUCUUUGAUAUGUGCCGAGCUUCAAUUGGGAGUCAUCUCUUCUUUCUUCAAUGAAGUCGAGGUCGAACCUCCGAAGCUCAUCGUUGGUUAUCUCGCUGAAGUGCAGACGUCUUGGGGAUGGAAGUCUAACCUCCACGGGGCUCAUCGCCUUAGUUCUAUAUGCCAUGAGGAAGGGCGUUUUCCCUGUUGGGGUCCUGGUGGUGGUUCGGAUCGCCCAAAGGACUUGGGGCAGCUCAUCAAUCCAAGCCCCUUUUGAUACAUCAAGCUUCCUUUUCAGGACGUGCUUGAUUGUCUUGUUCACGGCCUCAACUUGGCCAUUUGCUUGUGGGUGGUGAAGUGUGGAGAAUUGCUUCUUUAUGUCGAGCUCUUCGCAUAAUUCUCUAACCUUCUUGUUGUCAAACUGUCUGUCAUUGUCUGAGAAAAUUAAGUAGGGAAUUUCGAACCGACAAAUAAUAUUUUUCCAUAAGAACUUGGAGGUGUUGGCUUCAGUGAUUUUUGCCAGUGGUUCAGUUUCGACCCACUUUGUGAAGUAAUCAAUGGCUAAUAUUGCAAAACUUGCCCCUCCUCUACCCUUAGGUAGGGACCUAUGAGGUCCACACCUCAUUUUGAGAAAGGCAAGGGGCUGGAGAUGGCGGUCAAAUCCUGCGAUGGCUGUCUUUGCAUAGGAAAGAAGCGCUGGCAUUUGCCGCAUUUUCGUACAAACUCGAGGGCGUCCUGCUUUAAGGUAGGCCAGUAGUACUCCUACCUCUAUAUUUUCUGUGCUAGAGAUAGACCUCCGGAGUGGUUGUCGUACACGCCCUCGUGGACUUCUCUUAAUUUGUAGGUAGUCUCUUCUCCUCCGACGCACCGUAAGAGUGGAGAGGAGAAGCUCCUCUUGUAUAGAAUGUCAUCAAUGAAGAGGAAGUGGGCUGACCUCCUUCUUAGCUUGUAAGCCUCAUUCUUGUUGGUGGUUAGUACUUGGUCUUUGAGGUAUGCUAUGAUUGGCUGCAUCCAAGUGGGAGUUCCAGCGAUCCACAUUACAGUAGGGGCCUCAAUCGAAGGCAGGAGGAGGUGCUCAAUAGGUACUACUGUGAGUAGCUCUGAGUCCUUGCUACUAGCCAACUUCGAGAGUGCAUCUGCAUGCGCAUUUUUGAUGCGGGGGAUCUGGAUCAACUCAAACUUUUCGAAGGAUGGGAUGAGGUUCAUCACCAUUUUCAGAUAGGAGGCCAUCGUUUUGUCUUUGGCUGAGAAGUUACCAUUGACUUGGCUAACAACUAGCUGGGAGUCACUGCUGAUGAGUAGCCUCUUUACUUGCAUUUUUGUGGCUAGCCUGAGGCUCGUAAGAAGUGCCUCGUAUUCUGUUGCAUUAUUGGUAGCUUUGAAUCCGAACCUCACCGUUGAGGUGAGUUUGUGACCUUCGGGGUCGAUGAAGACAACCCCGACACCUGAGCCGACAUCACCGGCUGAUCCAUCGACGAAGAGGUUCCAUGUGGGGGACUCGGCGGGUUCCACGAUUUCAUCUACCUCGGGUAUGUUGGAGAAUUCAGCCACAAAGUCAGCCAAGGCUUGCCCUUUGAUGGUUGCCCUAGCCUUGAACACAAGGUCAAAUUCACUUAGUUCCACUGCCCAUUUCAAUAACCUUCCUGAGACAUUGGGCUUUUGGAGUACCUGGCUCAGGGAAAAGUUCGUCAGGAUAUGAAUGGUGCGAGCUUGGAAGUAGGGUCUCAAUUUCCUAGAGGCCGUGAUCAAGGCCAAAGCGAGCUUCUCCAUAUCGGGGUAACGGGUUUUCGGCGAUAGGAGCGCUUUACUUGUGUAGUAUACAAGGAGUUGAGUGGACCCUUCUUCCCGAAUCAGAACCGAGCUGAUGGCCUCAUUGGAGAUGGCCAAAUAUAAUUGUAGGAUAUCACCGGACUUCGGUUUGGAGAGGAGGGGGGCCUGUUCCAAGUUCCUUUUCAGGCAUUGGAAGGCCUCUUCGCAUUUAUCAGUCCACUAGAAUUUCUUCCCAGCCUUCAGCACUUUGAAAAAUGGGAGGCAUUUGUAGAGACGAAGAGCUAAGUGCGACCACUCGCCCGGUAAGACUUUGCACCUCCUUCGGCUUUCGGGGGGACCUCAUCUUGCAUAGAGCCUCAAUCUUCUCGGGGUUGGUCUCAAUUCCUCUUUGGUUGACCAUGUACCCCAAGAACUUGCCGAAGGCUACCCCAAAGGCACACUUUAGGGGGUUGAGCCUCAUCCUAUACCUUCUUAGGAUUUGGAAAGUACUGUUGAGGUGCAUUGUGUGGUCCCUAGCCUCCAAACUUUUUACUAGCAUGUCGUCCACGUAGACCUCCAUUGUUUUGCCAAUGAGGUCCAUGAACAUCUUGUUUACAAGUCUUUGGUAGGUCGCUCCGACGUUUUUCAACCCGAAGGGCGUCAUUCUAUAACAAUACAGGUCUCGGUCCGUGAUGAAAGAGGUGUACUCUUCAUCGGCCGGGUGCAUGGGAAUUUGGUUAUAGCCGAAGUACGCGUCCAUAAAGCUUAACAACUCGUGCCCAGCCGUGGAGUCUACUAGUUGGUCAAUCCUUGGGAGUGGAAAGCUGUCUUUCGGGCAAGCUCUAUUGAGGUUGGUGAAGUCGAUGCACACCCUCCACUAGCCAUUGUGUUUCUUUACUAAAAUUGGGUUGGAGACCCACUUCGGGUAGGUUGCCUCCCUGAUGAAGCUAUUUUGGAUGAGCUUCUGAACUUCUUCCUUUAGGGCCUCAUACCUCUCAGGAUUGAGGACUCUCAUUUUUUGUCUAUGCGAGGCAACCUUAGGAUUGAUUUUCAGGUGGUGGCAGCUGACCUUGGAGUCUAUGCCUACCAUGUCCUCAUGCUUCCAGGCAAAGACAUCAAGAUUAUUGCUCAGAAAAUCCUUAAUCUUUUCCUUCAGAAUGUUGGAUAGGCAUUUGCCUACCUUCAACACCUUUGAUGGGUCUCGGGAGUCUACCGAGAAGUUCUCAAGUUCCUCUACUGGGGAUGCUUGAGGCUCGUGUUACAUUAUGCGGGGGUCAAUCUCAUCAAUGACCAGCACCUCCGGAUUAGGUGGUGCGUCGAUCAUAUCAACAUCUUCUAGUUCGGUGGGAGAAUCAUCUGGGACAUCAGCCAUGACCAUAUCAGCUAUGAUUACAUGGACGUCCCGGGGCUCUACCUUCUUGAUGGAGUUUAGAUAGCACUCUCUCGAGCCUCUUUGGUCGCCUCUCGCCAUUGCCACCCCAUUUUCUGUAGGGAAUUUCAUGCAUAGGUGGUGGAUGGAGGUGACUGCUCCCAAUUCCUUUAGGGCUGGUCUGCCCAACACUCCAUGGUAAGCCGAUCGGCUGUCGACAAUGAGGAACUCCAUGAAGUUCAUCAUUGUUUGUUGGGAUUCUCCCAUCUCCACUGCAAGUGUUAUCUUUCCCCUCGGAGUGAUGCUAUCUUCGGUAAAUCUGCACAAUGGGGUGGUGGUGGGCGUCAGCUGAUGAUCCAAUAUCAUCUUGUCAAAGGCGGAUCCGAAUAGAAUGUUGACGGAGCUACCGUUGUCCACUAAGAUUCGUUUGAGCCCAUUAUGGGCUAUGACAGCUCUCACCACGAGUACAUUGCAAUGGGGGUAAUGAACCCCCUCGGCGUCUUCCUAGGUGAAGACAAUGGGUGGAACUUGGUUUCUUCGGGAGCUACUAUCCACAAUGUAGCUUGUCAAAGAGGGGUGUUUGGCUUCCCGAGCGUAAUUCCUUUUGACGUUUUGUGUUUCACCACCAACAUACGUGCCUCCAAAUAUGGUAUCCACCUCGUGGAUAGGGGCCUCAUCUUGAGCUUGUCGAUUUCUUCGGUGCCUACGCCCUUCCCUGGGCCUCUCUGCAUCAUGCUCCCUUUGUCGUGGGGAUACAUCCCUUUGAUGGGGAGCGGCCUCCUCACACCCACGUCGGUUGUCGUACCUGGGCGGGGGCCUGUUCGCCUGGGGCGAAUCAUGUCUGUCUCUAGCGAGUUCUUGCCGGGAGCAGUGUGCAUAGUCUUUGCAGUCCGCUGUGUCAUGCCCAUAGGACCUGUGGUGCACACAGUAUCCUGAGGUUCUCGUUUUUGACCUAUUUCUAGGUCCUGAACCUCGGCCUCGGCCUCUCCCCCGACGGGGUCCUUGCUGGGCCUCCAUCUGAUGGGGGUCAGUAAUUGGGUUGACAUCUUCAUAUGCCAAGGUAGGAACCGUAUUCAAAGUAGUGGUGGCAAGUGCUUGGCCAGAGUUAUUAUUUUCGGCCUGGUUCAUUUGGUAGCCCAUCAGGUGGAAGGUCGGGCCUCUACCGCGCUAUCUUUGAGGAGGUGGGAGGCCUCUACUUGCCCUGUUCCUAUGCUUGAUCAAUUCUUCAUUGAUGAUCUCCCUUCUCAUCAUUUCGAGUAGGGCGUCAUAGGUUGUGGGGUCUUGAUUCUGCACGUCCCUCCUAAAUAGGGUGUUAAUGUUCAGACCUCCCCUUAAUGCGGAUAGUGCCUCUCGAUCGGUGACUUGUACGCAAUACGUCAUCUCAUCGGUGAAGCGUGAUAAGAAGCUCUUUAGGGACUCCCCAUGUGCUUAUAUCAUGUCUUGGAGACGUUGGAUGGGGGUCUCUCCUUCUUUGCUCACCGCAAACUUUUUCAGGAAUGUUGUCUUGAACUCGGGCCAGCUUCUAAUGCUCCCAGGUGGCAAUCUGCUAUAUCAAAUUUCAGCCGCUCCACUAACUGUUAAAUGGAAGGCUCUGCACUUCACGCCGGGGUGGCGCCCCUUAGGCUCAUGUGAGUUUUAUAAGCAUUCAGGUGCUUCUCCAGGUCGCCUCUUCCGUCAUACUUUGGUAUUUUUGGCAUAACAUAGUGGCUUGGGACCUGGGCAUUCCUUAGUUCCUUUGAGAAUGGUAGAUUGUCAUCAUCAUCGUCCAAGUCGCAGGACCUCUGUUGUUCAUCGGAGUCGUACUCAUCAGCCUCAUACCCUGGUUGUUGGUAAGAGGUUCCGGGGCGGUCCCUAGCCUCUUCCUCCCUCAUCUGCUGCCUAUUUCUAGGCGGAGCAACACGGGGGGCAUUUUCAUGCCUUUUCUCCGGCUGCUGGGGCAUUGGAAGUGGAGGAGGUGGCCUUGUUCGAGGCUAUUGCUGCUGUUGCCUGAGCCUCGGUUCGACGGGGUUGAUUCUAUCAAAAACACUUCCUGCCCUCCUAUGUCUUGGAUCUUGCUCAUAAGGAGGUGGAAAAUUAUCAUGGCUCAUGUGGACCUCGGUGGGUCGGCCAGAGACGUAGUUGGAAGAAACAUCAACUUCCACUUCCCUUUCAAAUGGGCUUCCACCUCGGCCAUAGUCUGGCGAAGCAGCUCUAUGACUUUGAACUUCAUCCUCUUGCUGGUAGUGCCCUUGGGGGGCAUAUGGAGAAAUGGGGAAGCCUCCUUGGCCCUGCAUUUGGGCCAUAAGCUCCCUUAUAGCCAAGUUUUGGCUAGCAAUAUCACUCAUGUUGGCUGCCAUGACGGUCAUUUCUCUUGAUAGUCGUGCCGUCGCACGCAUCCCACCUCUUCUUUAGUGGUGGUGGAGUUUCUGCCGAGCUACUGGGGCAGCCGGCUGAGGAGGCACGAUCGUGUUUUCUCUUACCCUCCUAGGGGGAGUAUCUUCAUUGGAGCUCAUUUUCUUUUGUCAGACUUCAGAUUUUGCUAAGUAAUGGGGCUUCUUCCUAUUCUUUUUCAAGAACAAAUCAUUUUUCAAGGGGGGUUGCCCAAAUGUUUUUUCAGUAAGCUUUUACCACAAGGUUACUUGUGGGUAUGGUAUGGUUUCUCACAGACGGCGCCAAUCUGUUGACCCCAAAAAAUGUCGCCAACAGAUGCCGGUCCCACCCGCGCACAUGUGAGCGAUUGUCCAACACGCUAAGACGCGUGGACAGUCUAAAACGAGCAGUUCAAAGGGCGUGGGAGUAGCCCAACGACAUGGGACGGUGACGUUCGAAAUCCGGCAGGUUGUUCGUGAUCCCGAUUGUAUAAUAAUUUCCAACCGGUAUUCGUAAAUGUGUAUAAACUCGAUUUGUGUAUUUCAAGUAAAAGAGAGAGAGUUGAGUAAAGUGUAGUUCUUUGUAUUGAUUCUUGCUUUAGCCUUUUGAUGUUACACAAGGGAAGUAUUUAUAGUGGUACAUGUGAAAUGGGGAGCCCUUGGAUGAGGUGGCACGUGGCCUCAUCUCUUUGAUUUAAACAUCUUAUUAGGCAUGAGGUUUGACUUGCUAGCUUGCGGCGCAUUUAUUGCUUGUGCAGAGCUCCCAUACUAGUGACAAGACUUGACAUUUAUGCUUAUGACAAAUAUUCCAUCAAUCAUUCAAAUAAGAUCUUUAUGCAGACGAUCUCUUGGGAGAAGUGAACAUGGAGGACACUCCCUUGUGGUUCGGAGGCUCCUGCAUCAGUUUCGGGGAUUCGGCCAUUUCACACAAUACUUCCGCUUGAGGGCUUCAACUAUCUUCAACUAAUUUCGGCAUCAUGGCUUCGGUUCAUGGGCCUCGCCAUGUGGACCUCGGGUACGUCACGGAUCUCGGUUACGUCACAGGCCUCGGUAGAAGAGAGCCUCGGCUAGUGGACUUCGGCUUGAAGGGCUUUGGCCAUUGCCCACCUCAACAAUAUAUGCCACCUCAGCUGGAGUGCCACGUGGUUUGGUCUGAGUGGGCCAUUGGCCCAGGUAAGUUGGCCAAGUAUGACAAUACGCAACAGUCUUCACAUUGUUCGUACUUAACGUGAAACUUUUGUCAGGCAAUCUGGGAAAAAGUAAUAGUUUUAUACCGUUUUGCGUGCGGGGCUACCCCUAAUUAUAGGGAGUUAUUUUCUAAAGUUCUGUUUACAUGAAGACACGCUUGAGAAUUUACAACAAUUUUAAUAUUUUACAUAAUUGUUCGUAGUAUAAUAGUAUUCAUACACCACAUCGAUUGAUUAUCUUGGACAAACACGAAGGAUCCACAUUUAUGUUGGGUUUUGUGACCUAAAUUAGAUUGAAUUUUUGAGAAUAUAUAUAUAUAUAUAUAUAUUUUUAUUUUUUUUAUUUUUUUUUAUUUUUUUUAUUUCACGUGACUUUUUUUUUUGUUUCAAUUUUUUGUGGUAUUUCUAAAAUUUGGCAUACACCUCUAUAAAUACUGUACUUUUUUUUUUACAAAUUUUGUAUUACUGUAAUAUAAAAUAAUUGUGUAAGCAAAGUUAUUGUUUUAUUUUCUUCAUAUUAGUCAAUUGAAUAAAAUACUUCAUUCCUUUGGCAUUUUUUUUAGCGAUCAUAUGUUUCAUAUCAUGUCAUAUAUAUUACUUCAACCCGUUAUAUUUCCCAACAAUUUAAUCUAAUAAAAAUCAAUGUCUCCUACUUGAAUUUUCAACGUGAGAUAAUUUGUGAGAAAAAAAUACAUAUUCCAUAGUCUUUAUAGUGACUUACAUGAUAAGAAAAACAUUGGUAAAAUUAAUCAAAUUUUAUCUUGAAUCCUCAUCGAGUCGUUCGAUAUUGUAAACUUUUCUCCAUUAUACGCCAUUUUCUUGAUUCGUUCUUAUAAUUAUGGUUAUCUUUUUGGUAACCACAAAAUACUUUUCAGGCAAAAGUCCAUAGUUAUUUCCCGGCAAAACAUUGUUUGGGAGGGAUUUUUUUACACAAAAAAAUUGAUUUUUUGACCGUUAUUUCAUUAUUUCAGCCGUAAUUUUUGACUUUUUCUCUCACAGGUGAACCCCACUUUUCUUCUAAAGGUCAAAAAAUCAAUUCUCAAAAUCCCUCCCAAACGGGCUAAGAUGAGAGUGUAAGUUUCAUAUUAAGACCAAAUAUUAAGCCCAUGUUUAAUGUUCGUUAUUUCAUCGAAAUGAGUUUUAUAAUAGUAAAUUUUUAGAAAAUGUGUGGUUAAAAAAUAGAAAAAAAAUUUGGUUUAUGUGUAAAAUAUUUUAGGGAAAUUUUCAUAAAUGUUACUAAAUUUGAAAAUCCACAAAAAAAAAAUUUUAUUUUCACUAAAGAUGCUCAAAAAGUCACUUUUUUCUGUGAAAUGUUCAAAUUACCCUUAGUGAUACAUUUUUAGGAGCAUUUAAUGCUUAAUUUGAAUGACAUUAAUAUUAUGAUGUGAUGAUUUAAUUUGUAUAUUAUAAACAUUGGAUAUAUGAUUAUUAUAUUUUUAUCUUAUAACUUACUAUUUUGUAAAUGUUAAAUACAAUAUGGUCAUAUUUAUUUGAAAUUUUGAAACUCUUUUUCAUUGAUUUAUUUGGUUUUAUGUUUUUGAAUGGUAAACAUACCAAUAUCAUCCACAAAAUGUGAAUGAUUUCAUAUUUAAUGGAGCAUUGAGUUAUUUAUUUUUGGAAAGAUUUGUAGUUCAGAACUGAUUAUCACCAUUAAUAUUUUGAAUAAUUUCUUCAAAGGUACCAAAUACAUGUUUUCAAGCUUUCUGAUAGUUCCGACAAUUCAUCUUUCGAAUUCGACAUUUCAAAGUCGUAGAAUUAGACAUAUCUACUAUCAAACUCGACAUUUAAAAACUGUCAGGAUAAACAAUUUAAUUGUCGAGAUUCAACCAUUCAUUUCACAUUUUGCUAUUAAAUGAAUUUAAAUAUUCAAAAAUAACACUUUCAUGCUAUUAAAUAUUGACAUAUUGAUUGUACAGAGUUCUUACCGUUGUAAUCUCAAUUUUUCAGGUCUUAGUAAUCAUUUGAGGUUCAUCGUGUUGUAUGAGAAAAAGUUUGUUCACGUAGAUAACAAAUGGAAGUGGAAAGUGGACGAAAUCACUUUCAUUUUAGUUUCAACAUGUAUUACCCUAUGCACUCGCUAUGGUAAAGUUGGCCAUAAUCGAACCGUGUAUUCUAACCCCAUUCUAACACAACUCACAUAAAUAGGCUUGAUGUCUGAAAAGUGGUUCGAAAUUUUAUUUUGAAUGUUCCCCUGAUAGCAUUGUACAUUGUGGAGUUAUAUUAUCAUUUUCAUUUUAUUAUCGUUUGCAGACAUUAAUCGUAUUUAAGUUCACAAGUAAAAUAAUUACAUAGACAAAAGUUGCAUACCAUCCCAACAGAAGGAGUCUAUCAUUUUCGAUGGAUGGUUGUAAAGUAGAAAAUUGGACUAUAAAUAAGAUGUAUAAAGGACAUACUAUUCCCGAGCACAUUCUCAACUUACAUUAUCAUUUUCAACUUAUAUUAUCAUUACUAUUUCAUUAUCGUUUUGCAGACAUUACAUAAGAUCCUAACAGUUAAACUGUCAGUCCGAACAGAAAGUUUCUGUCAUUCUCGAUAGUUGGUUGCGAAGUAGAAAUGUAACUACAAAUAAGAUGCAUCAGGGAUAAGCUAUUGCAAAACAUUUGGUAAAGACGUUACCAUAUUCAUCUCUUACAAAACUAUAAUACAUAAUUUAGUACAUAGACGUAAACAAUUAUAACCCACUUCAAUAGUUGUCGACAUUUGAAUAUUCUUCCCACCGUUUUCAUCAGAAUCGUUCGAACUUAUGACAAUUAUCUUGGGAGAUGGAACGUUCGCCAACGACUUAUCAUUGUUGGAUUCAUCUUCAAACGAAACCAUGAACUCGAACACAUCAUCAAGUACACUGGGCAGUGCCUACGAGGCUUCACUUGAAAUUUCAUUCAGGUUGGGAAAAUGAACAAUAGAAAUGGCUAUCUUACCAUUUGGAUGGUUGACUUCCUCAUCAUUCGAAGAAAUUAUGAAAAAAAUAGGGACAAACUGGGUAUUGGCAAAGGCUCAUUCAAGUUCAACGAUUUGUUGAUUCCGGGGGACGAACCCAUUAUCUCGAUAUAGUUGUAUUAAGUGAACUGUUUGAAAUGUUUGAUGUAUAAAGUGUCACAAAGUGAGAGAAGUGUUUAAAUGUAACUGAGAAGAAAGUCAUGCCAUGCUAUUUACAAUCAAAUUCUUUGAAGGAAUUAAUUAUGGUCAUUUACAAUACAACCACUAAAUCACAGAUUUAAGUGUUGCUUGAGUGAAAAUUGCUGUGAUGAUUUAAGGUCUAGGUGUACCUUUAUCCUCCAAACUUUGUACAUAAUUUAUGGAAAAUGUGAAUAUUAAAUCAUGUGUACCAUUUUAUCUUGAAGUUUCCUGCAUGUAGUUGUUGGUAAUCAAUUUUUAUAGAAAAUAUGAAUAUCAAAUCACGUGUAUUAUUUUAUCUUAAAGUUUUCUAUAUGUAAUUAUUGAUAAUCAAUUUUCAUGAGUAUUCGUAUCUUAAUUGUAGCAUUGUCCUGAAAUAUUUUUGGUAUUUAAACUUCUCAUAAUCAGAAUGAGUACUUUGUAUCUUAAUUGUAGCAUGGUCCUAAAGUAUUUUUGAUAUUUAAACUUCUCAUAAUCAAACUUCAAUCAAGAAGUUCAACAAUUUUUUCUUGUACUAAUCGAAUAAUCAAACAAAUAUGAGAAACGAAAAAAAUGAUCAAAUGUGUAACCAUAUGUGGAUGCAACCAUCAGAUCGUGUUUACAACCACAUUUUUUAAGGGAAUCAAAAUGAGGUCAUUUAGUACAUUAUCACAAAUCGAUUCCAAUGUAGUAUUAACAAAUUUCAUCACACUAUUUCUUAACUCUAUUUCUCCUCUCCUUGGUGUAUGGAAUCCUAAAAGAUGCUGCAGAAAUCGAAUGUGUGUCGAUCACCUCCUUUUUGUGUUAACAACAUCGUUGCUUUCUACAGGUAUGGUGGCUGCCUUCAUCACGCCACAAGCUAAGGAAACUUCCUCGUUGUUCGAGCAUGACACUUCAGGCUCUACGACUCCUCUAUCUAUUUGAAAACAACAUAUGUUACACUAAUCAACAUGAGUUCAAUAUUUCUAGUUUGCAAACUACGAAAUGAGAUGAGAGUAUUUAAAAUUUUGAAUUUCUCAUAAUUAACGCAUAUACCAUUCACCUCUUGGUUCUCACUAAGCAAUGGACCUUCAUGGUCAUCCAUGCCUCCUCCAUUUAGUUGAAAACAACAAUUACAAAACUAAUGGACAUGAAUUCAAUAUUUCUAAUUUGCAUACUAUGAAAUGAGUUGAGUAUAUUUAAAGUUUUGAAUACAUCAUAUAUUAAUGUGAAACAAACGUGUAAGAAAGCAAAAGCCGAACGUAUAAAGUUCGAGAAAUACUGCCUUUAAUUAUUGAGAAUUCCAAUUCAUCUGUCGAGAAUGACAGUUCAUAUCGACAGAUGACUCAUCUAUCGAUAUUUAGUCAUCUGUCGAGAAUAAUUGAAACGAACUGUCGAAAAUGACAGUUUAUCGCGACAGAUGGAUCACAUAACUAUAUGUCGAGAAGUUCUCGUGUUUCGAGAAUUCAGAACUGUACAGACUUUCAUUGCUACAAAUUAAAUAGUUAACUUAAAAGAUUCGGUACCCAUGUCUAACCUAGAAAAAUGUAAUUAACAAGGUAGGUUGGAAUGAUAAGUAUAAUACAACAGUCAGCUACCACAAAGCAAACAAAUUCAGCAAAAUAUGAAGUCAAAAAUUGACAGAACUUGAAAUAUUUUUUUUUUAGGAAAAAAAAUCAUAUAUAACACACCAACAAACCUAGAAAAAAUCAAAAUCCUUCACCCCCCCCAAAUGGAGAAAUCCAAACUACCUAUAAAUGUACACCUCAGGCAAAGUCGAAUCCAAAAUAAAGAGCAAACUAACUCACGGUCUAGAUGUAAGGAACACAAAAUUGAUGUCACAAUUUAAGAGAUAGAUAAAAAAAAAUAGAAACAUUAGUUAAAAAACUGAAAUAAAACCUUCAAUUGAUCUAAAAAAGAAAUGCACAUAUUCGAAACCUUACCUAAGAUACUCUCCUUCCUUCUGUAUUGAUGUAAUAAGUGGGAUCCCAACACAAGAACUUGCUCUCCAUACAGUUUUCACAAAAUCUAAAGAGGAAACAUAGAAAAGAAGAAAGGAAAAAUGACUUUUUUUGCAAUUAUUGUGUGGGGAAGUAGAGUUGUGAUUGAAUUGAAAAAUAGAAUUACAUGGGCAAGGAAACGUUCUGAAAAGAGAAAAAGAAAUGAGUUAAUAGUUAAUAAUUUUUGCUCUUUUAUAUAUUGUAAUGAUUUUGAAAUACAAUUGUGAGGUGAUUGAUUAUCACAUUUUUUCCACUUUUUGUACAACUUUUUUAUGUUGUCAACUCAAGAAUGUGUAGGGUAUUUAAAUUUAGUGGGGGCCAAAAAUUUUCAAAAAUGACAAUCUUUCAAAGAUUUUUAAAAAGUGAUAUUUUUGAAAAUGCAAAACCAAAAAUUGACAUGGAAUACAAUUUUCUCAAUAUUUAUAGUCAAAAUGUGUAGUUGAAAAUAAAUUUAAUAAAAAAAUAAAUUUUGAAAUAAUGGGAAUCAAAUAGGGGCUAAGCCUAUGUCUAGUCCCACUUUUUUUUAUUUACUUUUUUGAGAAAAGAAAUUCUCCAUCAAUUAUGUGGGUUGGUUUAGUGUUUUUUUUUUAUCACAAAGAAUGGAAAUUUUUCCAUCAAUUUGUGGCUUUUUUAAUUCUAAAAUCGAAUUUUUCCUUGAUUGAAUUUCAAUUGGGGAAAGACUUUGACACAAUUACGCUUCAUAGGUUUUGUAAAUUUAUUGAGAGGGACAUUUAAGUCUUUAGAGACGCUUGUUGAGAGGUAUAUGUGGUGCUUGUGAGUAUUUUAUAGAUAUCCUAGUAGGAUUAAGUCAACUUAAAAGAAAAACAUGCCCACCUACUUGAUAGAUGCAGUGUUGAAAGCCGAUAAUUUAUAUAAAAAUUGACUAUUUUUUAAACAGUCCAAUGAACGAAUGCCAUGUGGCAUUACGUCAAGGAAGCGGGCAAAUUUUUCUGACAAUGAAGCAUGAUUGAUUCUAAUAAGUCUACACAAACAGUAGCUUUGAGAGGCCCUAGUUUUUAUUUGUUUAAUAAAUUCAAAAUCAAAUUUAUCAUAUUUUUUGCUAAAAAAAUCUGCUAAUAGGUAGAAGCUAGCUAUAGCCCGUCUUAGAACAAUUCCAGAGAAGAACAUGACUGUCUUCACAUUGUUCAUACCUAACAAGAAAGUUUAAUUAGGCAAACUGGGAAAAAAUAUUAGUUUUAUACAAUUUUGUGCAUAGGGCUACCACUUAUAGGGUGUUAUGUUGUGUUUACAUGAAGACAUGCCAGAAUUUUCAAGCUGAGAUAAUUUGUGAAAUAUUCCAUAAUCUCUAUAUUAGCGUGCAUUGUAAUAGAAACAUGCGUGAAAUUUACGUAUUAUCUUGAAGCCUUAUUGAGCCCGGCAUCAUUGUAAAACUCCUCUUUCGUAUAAAAAAAUUCUGCAUAUAUAGAACACUAUUUCACAAAAAUUGGCCAGAAAUCUCACAUUGUGCGGUCCCAUGUGAUGAUUAAAAAUUCAGAAAAAUCACCCACCCUCCUGCUAUUGUGUCUUAUGUGUGCAAUUCUGAACAAGCAGAAUUACUGUUUUUGUAUACUCUAUUUUCUUGGUUUGUUACUUCACUGGCGAAACGUUAAGAUUCUAAAAAAAAUCUCAAAUUAUGAUCAAAUAUUAGUCUAUGUCUACUCCAAUAUUUAUUUUUUGGUGGCCAAAAGCGAUUUCCUCUAUCAAUUAUGUGGGGUCAAUUUAAAUUUUGUACUAUAUAUACUGUGGUAGCCUCCUUAUGACAAUAAGGAAUGGAAACUUCUCAUCAAUUUGUGGCUUUUUUUUAUUGUAAAUUCGAAUUUUUCCUUGACUGAUUUUCAAUUGGAGGAAGAUUUGACACAAUUACUCUUCAUAGGUCGUGAAUUUACUAAUAGGGACAUUUAGAUCCGAAGACACCCUUGUCGAGGGGUAUAUGUUGUGCUUGUAAAAAUUGUAUAGAUAUCCUUGUGAGUCUACACAAAUGGUAGCUUCUAUAUUCCCUAGUUUCUAAUUUAAAAAAUACAAAAUCUAUUUUGCUAAAAAUAUGUUAAAGAGGUAGAAGCUAGCUAUAAUUUAUCAUCACUUUAAUUUAAAUAGGGAAAUUAUUGUUUUUAUACCAUUUUGCCUGUGGGGUUGUCACUUGAUGCGAACCCACGUAAUAAUAAAGCUACAAAGCCCACACGAGAUUGAUUUCAAACUCAGGAAAGCCAAGAACCAAAGUAUUGAGUUCAAUUCACAAAUAUUGAACCAAGCAACCAACAAUCGCAGACAAUGUGUUGACCACUUGAUCAAAAGACUUGAAAAUCUCUCCUGAAAAGUUUGAGCACCACAAAAAUUAAAAAUCUUGAUAAGAUUAUAGUUUGUUCAACAAAGAACAAAUGAUUGAAAGCAAAUUUGCCUCUCAAAUUGAAUAUAAUAUCAAAGUUCUAAUUUACAAUGAAAUAAUAUGUCCUAUUUAUAAGAAACUCAUAAAACUCUAGUUGAAUCGAAAAGGAAUCCUAAAAGAUAACAAAGAUACCAAAAAAGUAGAAUUCUAACCAAAAUAAAAGAUCUUCACAAUUGAACUAUGCGGUCGCAUAGCUUAAUCCACAUGCUAGACUUUAUGCUUGCUUCUAUGCGAUCGCAUGGACCUUUAUACUAAGCAGUCACAUAGUGCAAUCCAAAUCUUCCUAUGUUUGCAGCCUAAAUUGAGUUGAUCCAUCACGCUUCGACUCCCCAGCCCAUCAUGAAACUUUUUCUUUGGCAUGUUAACAUCAACCUUUUGGACUCCAUGGCUUGAACACUUGAUUGGUGGCUUGGAUCACAACAUCCCCUCCAUCUUCGAUAGGAUUCGACCUCUAAUAUGUACUUUGAAGAUUCAAAUUGUAGCCAUCAUCUUCAAUCAUUGUAUUGACAUGGAAUGGUUCAUCUCCUCUAGGAUGAAACCUUGACCUUCUUUGCAAUCGAACACUCCCUUUGGCCUCCACAUCCAAACCCAAUCGCCUAGUUUGAAUACUUUACGCCUUUUUCCUUUGCUACCUUGAGACACAUAUAAUUCAACUCCCUUGUCAUAAUUGAAUACUUCUCUUUCAAUUCUCAUCAAAUCCUCCGCUUGCAUCGAAUCAAUUGGAUAUUCAGUGGGUGGUAUCCCAUCAAUUAAGUCUUCCUGGAACAAGUCUUUGAACUCUAUAAUAAAGAAAUAUGCAAAUAGGGGAAGGAUUUGUUAGUCCUUACCAAAGCACUCUCAAUCUCAUUCUUUUUUGCAUAGAAACUCACUUUGAAUUUUUCUUUCCUCUCAGAAGAGAUUCUCUUUCUUUUCUUUCUGUGGCUCUACUAUUUUUUUUCUCACACUUAAUCACCUUAUUAUCCUCUCUCCUACUCUCAUUUUCUUUCCUUUCUUGUGGCUCUACUUUUUUUUAGCCACACUUUAUUUUUUCUCUUUUUCCUCACUUGUUCCUUCAUAUGAUCAAUUUGAGAAUCAAUCACGUCAUGAAGCUUUGAUAUUUCUAGUUUGAAAACUAAACCAAUCAAGGUGUACUACUAACAUGCUUCACAAUAGGUGUUUCACCUUCCAAUUGGUACUCAGCUCCAUCACAUUCACUAGGAUUUUCUCUAAAUUCCCUUUCAUGCCUAUCUCUCCUAUCCCUGUAAUAGUAACUAGGUGUAUAUUGCUUCCUUAUGAUAGCCUUCGACUCAUCCCAAGUUUUAAUGGGCAUCUCACAUUCCUCCUCUUAGUUGUCACUACUUGAUCCCACCAAGUAAUAGUAUAGUCGGUGAACUCAAGUACCGCAAUCUUUACCUUCUUUUCCUCUGAGUAGUUAUGGCAAUCAAAUAUUAGUUCCAUCUUCUUCUCCCACUCCAAGUAUGCGUCAGAAUCAUUCCUUCAUUUGAAUAAAGGAAUGGUCAUUUUAAUGUUGCCCAUAUUUCCGUCCACUCCAUCUCCAACGAGAUCUCCGUCCAUUCUUUCAUGCCUAAGGCCUCUAUCCCUCAUUCUCCCUACCUCAGCAUCCACUAAUAUCCCCUCAUCAAUAUCAUUACCCGCUUCACAAUCACUACGAUUCUCCGUCCUAGGCUCUCUCAUACCUUGCUUCCUUGCAUUAGGAACUCCCCUACGUAAAAUGGCAUGUAAUGGGUCUUAACUUCCAUCCAGGCUUCUUGUCGAUCCAACUUGUCCCUAACAUCUUCAAAUAACCUUUAAAACAUUCGUAUCAACUCCUUCGAAAUGUUGACUUGACUAUUGUUCCUACUUGAUGUAGAGUUGUCUCUGUCAGACAUCUUAAAUCUAAAAUAUUAUCUGAUUCACAUAUGUACUCUCAUAUAUCACUCGAAUUGACUUUUACCUUCUAUUAGUCUCACCGCUAUGUUUUUUUCCACUCAAUGCUUUCACCCCAAUACUUCAAAGAACGAAUUCGGACUCAACCAAGUCUUAUUCUCAAGAAUUCAAACAAAAAUGUGAGCGAGUUUUAUAAUUUUAGAAGACUCAAGAAAGAAAUAAAAGAAUUGGACACUUUUGAAUAGGAACUUUUAAUUUAAGAAAGUGGUUCUUGAAUUUUAGGUUGGAUAAGACUGAAACAUAUAUGUAUAUGGAUGUAUAGAGAUUUUUUUUACUCAAAAAAAUAUGAACUUAAACUACUGGUAAUUUUCGGAAAGAUUGGGAACGGGACCUGCAGGGUGAUAGUUUUUAUCGAGGAGCAGACUUAUGCACCUUGGACUUCUUGUUUUUAUUUUUUUUUCACUCGAAAAUUCAAUUACAAAACGAGCGAAACAAAAGAAAAUUGAUUUGGGUGCUAAAUUCGCUCAAAAACAACUUUUGAAUUUUUUUUGGUAUUUUUAUGAAUUAAAGACUCAAAAGACGAAGAACACAAAAAACACAAAAAAAAAAUGAAAACAAAGACUCAAAACAAAAAGAAAAUAAUAUAAUCUUAAUUUUUGGAGCCUAAGCUCUAAUACCAAUUGAUGCGAAUCCACAUAGCAAUUGAAGUUACGAAACUCAUAUGAGAUUGAUUUCAAACCCAAGAAAGCCAAGAACCAAAGUUUUAAGUUCAACCUACAAAUAUUGAACCAAGCAACCAACAAUCACAAACAAUGUGUUGAUCUAUUGAUCACAAGACUCGAAAAUCUCACUUGUAAAGUUUGAACGUCACAAGAAUUAAAAAUCUUGAUAAGUUCGUAAUUUGUUCAACUAAAAACAAAGGAUUGAAAGCAAAUUUGCCUCCCAGAUUAAAUAUAAUAUCAAAGUUUUAAUUUACAAUGAAAUAAUAGGUCCUAUUUAUAGAAAACCCAUAAAAUCCCAGUUAAAACAAAAAGGAAUCUUAAAAGAUUACAAAGAUAUAUAUAAUUCCUCGCAAAAUUUGAAAAAUUCGUGACCACAAUUGAGCUAUGCGAUCGCAUAGCUUCUUGGGAUGCGACCUCAUAAAAGAUUGAAAUCCACAUGCUGGAUUUCCUGCCUACCUCUAUGCGACCUCAUGGACCUUUACAUUAUGCGACCGCAGAGUGUAAUUCAGAUCCUCCUCCGUCUGUAGCUUGAAUCAAGUUGAUCCAUCGUGCUUCGGCUCCCAAGACCAUCAUGAAACUUGUUUUUUGGAAUGUUGACGUCAACCUUUUGGACUCCGUGGCUUGAACACUUGAUUGUGUGGCUUGGAUCACAUCACCACUCAUGGGUAGUCAUGUUCUAGGAAUGUGUUAUUAUACAUGAAAACACACUAGAGGACCAAACAGGGCUAAACCAUUCAUCUUGGCUAUAUAUUUAGUGGUUUACAAGAUGAAGGAAAACAAAGACAAAACAGUCAUCUGUUCAUAUACAUUUUCGUGACUAUCAUGGCCCAAGAUGGAUGCUUUGUGUGUCUUUUCCUAUGCAUUUGCUUGACUUUGUCUUGCGUUUUGAUUCCCGUUGGUGUAUCUCUUCAAAGCAUCAAGCCAAGAAUUUAUAUAAAUGACUUUUAUGCUCGUGCCCUCAACAUACACAUUCCUUCCAAUGCUACCAGUAGUAACACUUUCGUUUUCUUCGAUCUCCAGCUUGUUAACAUGAUGGUAGCCAACAGUGUGUAUUAUGGAGAUCUAAACCUCAUCCUCUUCUACGACUCGAAUGGAAAUAUUCCCUUGUUAAUUAUACAGUUCCUCGAUUCGAACAGGGUGAGAAGAAUACAGAUGAUUGGAAAGACGUUUUGGAGACUCAUGGACUGCCUUGGGUAGUGGCAGCCCUGAGUAUAGGUGAAGUAAGCGAUUAUCUAAGGCCCCAUUUUUGUGAGGACCCCAAAUUAUGUAAAAUUAAUUGGUUGGUUGAAGAAAAAUGAAAAUUAUAUUUAUGAAAUUUUGAAAAUAGAAUUAUCGAAUGCAAACAUAAAAAACUAAUAAAAAUUGAAAUUACAAAAAUGUUUAAAAUAUAUAUAUGACAACAAACUUAUCACUUAUAUUUAUUUAUCACAAACAUUACUUUCCCUAUUUAUAAUUAAGUCGACAUUUUAUCUUCAAAAUAUUCAUUUUCUUUUUCUUUUUCUUAACCAAAGAAAUGGUCUCUUCGUCUUUUCAAAUUCCAUUUCCGACAAUCACCCACCGUUAUUUUUUCAACCCAACAAAAUAUAAAUUAUCUCCCUUUGAAUUAAGAUUUUGAAGAUUCCAUGCAAUUUGAUUUGAUCUCGCUGGCAUUGUUACAACCUUAUAUAUUUCUUUCUUUCUCUCUUAUCUUCAAAAUAUAUAUUACAGAUUACAUAGGUUGCUAUUAUAUUGUUUUGUUUUAAUCUCAUGAUAAUGAUAUUUUUAAAUAUUUGCUAAAAGUACUUUGAAUUUAAUAACUCUCAGUCCUUGUUUGUACGGUUACUUCUUAUUUUAAGUUAAUUUCUUAUAAAUUAAUAUAAAAUAAAAUUAUAAGCUCGUUUGUAUUUGAUCACCAUUUUCAUUAUUUUGUUUUACUAUCUUUUGCAAUCACAUUCUCCAAUUGUAUACAUAAAUCACUCAAAUGUAAAUUGAAUUUUAUUUGAAAUAGUUGCAAUGAGAAAAUAAUCGUACAAACAAGCACACCCGUUGCCACUGCAUUGUAAUUCUGUUUGCCAAACUUUACUCGUAAUUUGUAUUGCUGGUUGAAAUUUAACAUUUUGUUAAUUUUAUCUUCAAAAUUUGGGGCAUAGUUGUCUUUAUAUUAAUAUUAAGCCCCUGCUUGGCAUUAACUAAAAUCUAGAUUUUAAUUUAAGUCAAAAUCAAUAAUUAAUUUUAACCACAUUUUAUAGGUUCCAAAACUUUAUAUCCACAUAUUUUAUCUACUUCUAUCAAAAUCAAACAAAAUGUUGAUUUUAGGGGUUGUUUGAGCCCUAUUUUUCUCAAAAAAAAUCAUUUCGAAACAGUGUUACGAUGCAGAAUGUGUGGUUAAAAAAUAAGAAAAUUUUUUUGGUUUGAGUGUAAUAUUAUUUUAUUGAAAAAUGUGUGGUUAAAAUGGUUUCAAAUCACUGUUGAAAAUGUAUUUUGAUAAAAAAAAAGGGGGGGGGGGGCUCAAACAAGGCUUAAUAUCCAUCAAACCAACUACAACUUUAUAUAAUGAAAUUCAAAAUAUAGGACUCCAAUUUAAAAUUAACAUAAGACCCCCAAAAUAUCAGGGCUGGUUCUGACCUUGGGAUGAUGCUAUUAAAGCAGUUUCUAAUGGUUCCAUAGCGGAUUUCAAGGAGGAUUUGCUCACAUAUGUCAAGUGGGAAUAAUUGUUUUGGUCAAAGAAAAAGAAGAUGGUUUUGAAAGCUACUGUUGAAGUUGAUGGUUCCUGUGAGAAAGUCCAUGGGAAACCCAUCAGACUCAAGUCAUUUGCAUCUUAGCUGAUAUGAAUUUAAGGCAUUAUAAACAUGUGAUGAUAUUCAAGAAAUUAUUUAAUGCAUGAAUAGAUACUUCACAUUUGUUAUUGGUCACAGUUUAUCUAUUCUAUCGACAAUACAUUAUUUAUUAGUCACAAUCAACCAAAAUUCCACCACACACCAUAUCUAGGCAUUUAUCUAUUCUAUCGAUUGCUUAUUAUUUAUUAGUCACAAUCAUCCAAACUCAUUUUCUUUUAGUCGGAUCGAAUCGCUUUUUGGAAUUAAUGACUUUAUUAUCAUGUUAAAACUUGAUGUUCUAUUUUAAAAGGCCAACCAUAUUAAGAGGAGAAAUCUAACCCUUUAUAAAUUGAUCUAUAUUUACAUUUUUAUUCGAUGUAAAUUUUAUCCCUUAACCUAUGUGUACUUAGAAGGAAAACUAAAGCAAAAACAAUAAAAGCAUAUCACAUUAGGAUGUAUCAAGCCAAGUCAGGACAAAUAACACAAUCUGAUUGACAUCUACACUUCACAUGAUACAUUAUUUAGUGAAAAUAAAUUACUAAGAACCAAGAGAUGGAUUACUUAUUGUGGUAAUUCAACAUAGGAUCAAUUGAUGAGAUUGAAUAACCAUAUAGAAAUAAUUAAAAAGUAACUUGUUACUUAAUUGCUACUUUUAAUUUUACUGUGCACGUUCUAGAACCUAAACAUUAUCUAAAUCGAUUAAUAAUCUUGAUUAGGUUAACUUUCACAUAACAUCAUUUGUCCUGUGGUGUAAAAAAUUUGCACGAGGUAACAUAUGUAUGUCUAUCUUUUCCCCCAUAAAAUAAGAUGCUAUAUGUGAACUUUACGUACAGUUUAAUACAUGCAUAUUGAUACUUACAGCAAAAAUACUUAGACGACGCAUCACCAUUCACCCAUGUAAUAUUUUGAUAGUUAAUAUAAACAUUUCGCAAUCACUUCUUUCGUUGUUGAAAAAAAAAAAGGUAAUUAAAUUUUAGUUGCUUCAAUGAUAUUUUAUCGACAAAAAUAAUUAAUACAAUGACAAAUCAAACAAUUGUAGAAGUAAAAUUAAUCGAUUGUCUAUAUUAAUUUUUAACAACUAUUUCUUUCAUUGUUGAAAUGAGAGGCAACUAAAAUUUGGUUAUUUUUAUUGUAUUUUCAACAUCAAAAAUAGUUAUUACAACAACCAAACAAUUGAUUGUUGAAAAAAGAAUUGGUUGUCAAUGUAAACCUUUUACUUCUAGUUAUUUAGUUGCUAAAAUGAUACAUUUAACGACCAAAUGUAUUUUUAGUCAUUGAAUACAUUUUUCAAACCUCUUUGCCAACCAAUGAAUAUCCAACUGAUUUUGGUAGUUGAAUGUGAUCAACUUGUAUCAAAAUUAAGGCUGUCUAAAUUUAUUACAACAUAGGAUGUGCUCCUUCAGUCGUUCGGCUUCUUCAAACUAUUUACAAAUUAAUUAUAUUUAUUAACAACAAAUAUUUACAGUAAUAUUUGUAAUUAUAUCAACCAAAUUUAAUGUUGUCUAUUACAACCCCCAAACAUUUUAGAACCUUGCUACAUGUACACAUUAGUUUAUACUUUGUCACGUGUCAUUAUCCUAUUAGACAAUUUAAAUUUAAAACAGUUUUUUCAUCCAAUUGACACUUGACAACAAUGCAAGUAUCAACCAAAGUGUCAAAAAUCAGUGUACAAAUAGAUAUGGCAGCUAAAAUUACUAUCCAUAUUGGGAAUAAUUCUAGUAUAAUAAUGCUGUCUAGAUCUCCAUGCUUACAACAUGAUAAUGUUUAUUAGAUAAAUUUGGUACUUCAUAUUCAUUAGAAUUAAUUAAAAAUAAUGAUACUCCUUUGAUUUUUUCUUGUCCUUAUCCUAUAUCACGAUUGUUAAUAAUCACCUUAAUGUAUGGCAAUAUGUCCAUCUAAAUUGCAUUCUCGAAAAUCAAGGAUAUUUAAUUGUUUAAGCAAACUCACAUAUAUUUGUUACAAAAGUUGAAACCGUGUUCGAUUGUGCAUGUGGAAUGACAUAUGUUUUGAUUAUUCAUAGUGCGUCAUAAAAAAGAUGUAUGAAAACAUACUGUACAAUUUAUUUAUUUAUUUAUUUUCCUUAACAACUGGACUUAGCAACCCAAUGCAUGUGAUGAGGUCUAUAUCAGCAAGUAAUUUUGCAACUUCCAAUCUCGAGGAAAUAUAUAUAUAUAUAUAUAUAUAUAUAUAUAUAUUCUUUUUGACAGAACAUUAAUUUAAUUAUGAUCAAUUUUAUUCUAUAUUGAAUUUUUUUGGUACUUAUUCUGAACUUCAAGCAAACGUUAGCUUUACAACUUUUAGUCGACAUUAUUUAAUGCCAGUUUUAAUGAAAGUUAAUAAAGGAGUGCACAUGUUAUCUUUUGGAAGACAAAAUUGUGUUUUCAUAUUAUAAGAUUCGAGAAUACAUUGGUAUAAGAGUUUUGUACGAGUUAAUCUUGUCGUUUUUAAAAAGUCAAUUAACGAUUUAAUUUCAUUAGUUGACUUCACAGAAAUGGACGAUCACCCACCCAAGUGACCACCCUUUAACAUAUUUAUGUCCAUCUUUUGCCCACAAAAUAAGAUACUAUAUGCGGACCAAAAUAGAUAUAGUUCAAUACGUGCAUAUAUACUGGUACUUGUAAUAAAAAAAUUCAAACAACAUAUCACCAUUCACUCAUGUACAAGUCACAUUAUCAUGAAAAUGAUUUAAUUUCUUCCGGUGGUAUGAAUUUUGUUGUUGUUUGGAAAUUGAGUAUGUUGUAGUCUUUCAUUUUAUUACCUAUUAUUUAGUGAAUUUCUUCAUAUCAUUGCCAAUGGACGUAAAAGAGGACUGAAUGAUAUUAGAAUAAGGUUUCUUGUACAUUAUUUGCUUGACAUGGAGUUUGACACUCCAUUGUUUUCAAAUGUUUUCAAAAAUAGAAUUGACGGGAAAGUGUGUUUUUUUUUUUUUCAAAAACUGUCCAAUAUGAUGUCGCCACGUAGCACAAUGUAAAAUUUAAUGUCAAACUCAAUGUACUUGUAGCAUGAUUCAUGAUAUCAACUUUGUGUGUGUUCUCUCUUUAAUUAAUGUUUUUGCGUAAAAUCCAAACCUUAAGGCUUUCGCACAUUACAAAACAAGUGAAAAAUAUUUCGAGUUUCGUAAUAAAAUCCUAUCCAUCUAUUGAAGAAUAGUAGAUGCAGGCCCUGCAGUUUUGCUGGAAAAAUCCAACCAUUGUGUUAAUUAAAGAUAAACAGAUUCUUCAAAAAUAUAAUUUCACAAAAAGAAAAAUGAAAGGCUGUAAACGAAGGAUGUAAUAGGAAAAUGUAACACCUUGAACUUUUUUACUAUUUUUCAUAUGGACCUAAACUUAAUAUGGGUCACUUAGCAAAUGAAAUAAUUCAUGUUUAGAUUUGUCGUCACACUAAAAGCCCAAAAAUUGAUAAUUUAUUUUGCUCACGUGUACUUAGAAUUUAUCGUAAAUCUUAUUUAGGUUGAAUAUUUACAUAUUUUAGAAGUUGAUAAAAUAUAUCAAUAUUAUACUCGUUUUAUCGCUCGUGUUAAAUAAUAUAAUUGGAAAUCAAGAAAAAGUAAUUUUGAGCUAGUAGCCCGAGUUAUUCUAAUAAAAAAAAUGUUAUCUUUUAAUAUUUUAUUAAUAUAUAAUAUAAAAUGAGUUUUUCUAGAACGGUCAUGGUUAUAUUGGAUGGAAACAAAUAGGUUUAUUAUAAUUAAAUUUAUUAAACCUAAUUAUUCUCAUUAAUCUUGAUAAUGAAUAAAUUUUAUUAACACCAUUAAUUCACCCUUAACCUAACAUGCGUUUUGUUGAUUUAUGUUACGUGCAUAACUAAUUAUAAGUGACUGUUAUGGGUUUAUAUAUUUAGGUGAAUUACUUUUAAGAUAAUUUCACAACUUCAUUCCUUUACUGAUUCAUACACGUAAACUCUACAUUGUUGAAAUGAUUUUCUUCUACCACAGUUUAUAUUGUACAUACUUCCCACCACUAAUAUUUUUAGAAUUUGAGCUAAGUAUCAUAUUUAUAUUUUUCACAAAUUAUUUUCAAAUAAAUUCUUGGAUAUCAAAUUGAGGUAAGAAUACAUCAUGCAAGUGGUAAAUUCUUAUUCCUUGAUGUUUGUAUAAUUUUUGACAUAAAAUGUUAUGAGGCCUUCAGGUCGAACUUUAUGUUAAAUCCUUCAGGAUGGACCGUUAGGUCAAAGAUAUUAAAUCCUACGGAAUAAACCGUUUGGUCAAAUAUAUUAAAUCCUACGAGAUGUGGGUAUUCUUAAGAAAUUCCUUGAGUUCUAAAUAUAAGAAAUAUUGGUAUGUUAAGUUAGUUUUAUAUUUAUAUCAUGUGAAUAAGAAUGUGUACGUAUUUUUACUAAGUAUUUUCAAAAUAUUCACUCUUACAAUACCUUUCGAUGAAAACGGGUAGUUUGGACGCGUGGAAAAUUUACCGAGUGAUACUUAUGGGGUCGCCAAGUAAAUUUUCUAGAAAAUAUAAUUGUCAAACUUUUAUUUGAAAAAUAUCUUCAUAUUGAAUUUUGUGCACAUUUUUUAAUAGCUAUUUUUAUGCAUUUCAACACUUAACAAAAAUGAUAUUUUCGCAUAAAUUAGACAAAGAAGAUGUUGGUAACACCUCGAGCCUAUUUUUAUAAAAGAAUAAAAUAAUGAAGAUGAAAAAGAUCUCGAGGCAUUAUAGAAAAAGUAUAAAGCAAAGAGAAAACCAAAGUUUUUUUUUUUAAUAAUAAAAAUCGACAAUAGAAAGCGAAGUGACAUUAAAUCACAAAUAUAAUUAAAUGAGUCUCAUUUUUCACCUUUAAUUUAUCAUAUAAUAUUAGCACCUGUGGUGCUAUAGCAUUAUUCAUUUCAGUUUCCUAUCCAAAUAAUUUUAAUGAUCUCGACUAAUUUCUUUAACUCGUGUUUGUCAAAUUGUGAACGGUUUCUUACUUUCCUACACCUUUGAGCUUUAAAUUGUCAUGUUGCUUAUGGGGUAUGCCAUAGCUCGAAUUGAAUCUCCUUUUCUAAUAUCGACAUAUUGGGGAAUUUAUAGAUGUCAGCGAACAAUUCAAUUAACCAACACAAAAUUUUACCACUAAAGACAUCACCAAACCAUAGGAAAUUAGUCGCUAAAAUAUGCAAUUUGAACAGUUCAAUCAAAUAUAUAGAACAAACUAAGUUUUAUUAUCACUAAAUAUAGAGGAUCAGAAGCAUUGUUUUAACAACAAACAAGUGAGAAAGAGAUUGAAGAAAAAUAGAAAGCCCCAUCGUGUUUAAAUAGCUGCUUUUCCUGGAUGAGCCUCAGACUGAGCCUGAGCCUGAGCGGGAGCCCGAAUGCCUGAGGUGAGUUUAAUAGCCUUCUUUUGGACCUUUUUACCGGAGUUGUUGAUUUCCACAGUAGCUGAGACUGCCAGAUUUCUCUUCUUGGACAUGAAAAACCACUCUUUAAACUUAACCUUUGUAGCCAAAUCCAACCUGAAAACUACUGUGGAUCCAUUAGAAACCGCGUUCACUGCGUCAAACCAAGGAACACCGUGAGUCUCGACCACAUCUCUCCGCUGAGCACCUUUUUUUUUACCCUGAUAAAACCCUCGAACUGUAUAGUAGCCUAUUGGAAGGCUUGGCUUUGGACCAUAAAAGAAUGUGAGAUUUAUAGUGUCAUAGCGGACACUAAUUUGAUCCAAACGAUUUUUGAGUUCGAGGUCGAAGAAGAUAAAGUUGUUGAUGGUACUGGCAUUGGAAUUAUCCAAUCUGUUGAGAGCAGGAACAUAAAAGUUCUUUAUUGAGCAACUGGGCCUCACUGUAUUGGUGUUUACUACGAUCAAAAUGAUCAAAAGGGUAAUAAUGAAGACGACUAUCAGGCAGCACAAUUUGUAUAAGAUAAAGAUAGGGUGUGCCAUAGCCCUCAUUCUAUCUAGCUGAGACAUUAUGAAAUUGUGGCGUUUUGAAGAAAAAGGAGGACUGAAUCUAUGAAUAUAAAUCAACAAGACGAGACUGUAAAUUAUAUAUAGAGUUAAAUUCGUAGACUACAUAGUCAUUAACAAUGAAUUCUGCUUGGUACCUAAGAUAGAAGAAAAUCAACCUUAAAGAAAGACUUCCAAGUCAUCAACAACCACACGGAACGAUUAAUGUUUGAUUAGACAAACCGGGAAAAUUAUUAUUUUUAUACCAUUUUCAUGUGGGGAUACCACUAUUUUCUAAAGGUAUGUUAUUAUACACAACAUUUAAGAAUUUAGAACAGUUAUAAUAUUCCACUGUACAUAGUUGUGUUUAAAUUUCAUACACCACAUUAUUUUAGAUUUCACCAUCUUUGGGCAAGAUGAUGAAUACACAUUCUAUUUAGUCACUGUUUGGUUUUGAUAAAAUCAGAUUUUUAGUAAAUUUUGAUAAAAAUGAUAAAAUGUGUAAUUGAAAAAUUGAUAAAAGAUGUUGAUCCCAUGAAAUGUGGAAUGGAAAAUAAAUUUUGGAGGAAAUGAGGUCCAAAUAAGGGCUUGAAAAAAAUGAAUGACUUAUGCUUGAAUUGUUCAAAUUGAGAUACUUUACGAAAUAUAAAAUCGGAAAACCACACGUUUCCUAGUCUCUAUAGUAGUGUUCAUGGUUAGAGAAACUUGUGUGAAGUUAAUCACGUCUUAUCUUGAGACCCUAUUGAGGCGUUCAACAUUAUAAAACUCUUCCAUUAUACUCCAUUUUUUGAUUUGCUAUUAUAAUUAUUGUUAUCGUUUCAUUAACUAGAAAAUACUUUCCAAGCAAAAAAACCCUAGAUAGGGUCACUUCACCAGGGAAAACAUCAAGCUGAGAAUGUGAAUUAAAGUAUGAGUCAAGUAUUAGCUAGCUGUAACGCUUCUUUCAACUAAUCUAAAACAGAAGAAUCUUUUAAAGUAGUUUCACCACUUUAAUUUACAUGUAAGUCUUCACCUAAUUUACACGAAAGGCUUCGAUAUCAAGAUUCAACGAGCUUGACUCAUGAAAGUCUUUUUUUAUGUUUUAUGACUUGUUUUUCCAUUGAUGUACCUAAACAAGUAAACCAUUCAUCUUGUCUAUAUAUAUCGAGUGCUUUAUGGGAAGAAGGAAAAUUAAGAUAAAAAAAAUUCAUCUGGUCAUAUACAUUUAAGUGACUGCAAUGGACGAAAGCGGAAAAAUUGCGUGUCUAAUCUGUUGCAUUUGCUUCAUUUUGCCAACCAUUCUGAUCCCCAUCGGUUUAUGUCUUCAAAGCAUCAAGCCAAGAUGUUACAUAAAUGACUUUUAUGCUCCUGCCCUCAACACACACAUUCCUUCCAAUGCUACCAGUUCCAACACUUUCAUUUUCUUCGACCUUCAGCUUCGUAAUAUGAUGGAAGAGAACAGCUUACGUUAUGGAGAUCUGAACCUCACCCUCUUCUACGGCCUGGAUGGAAAUAUUCCUGUUGCUAAUUAUACAGUGCCUGGUUUCAAACAGGGUAAGAAGAAUACAAAUGAUUGGAGAGACGUUGUGGAGACUCAUGGACUGCCUUGGGAUGAUGCUAUCAAAGUAGUUUCCAAUGGUUCCAAAGUGGUUUUCAGGGCGGAUUUGGUCGCAGAUGUCAAGUUGAAACAAAUGUUUUGGUCGAAGAAAAAGAAGAUCGUUUUGAAAGCUACCGUCGAAGUCGAUGGUUCUGGUGAGAAAGUCCAUGGGAAACCCAUCAGACUCAAGUCAUUUGCAUAUUAGCUGUUAUGAAUUUAAGGCAUUUAGUAUGUGCCCAUUAAUAAAUGAGUUACAAACGUUUGAUGAUAUUUAAUGAUAUUCCAGAAAUUAUUUAAAUAUCUUUCUCAUGCAUGAAUAAAUGCUUUACAAUUGUUAUUGGUCACAAUUUAUCUAUUCUAUUGACAAAAUAUUAUUUAUUAGUUACAAUCAACCAAAAUCCCACCCCCACGUCAUCCCCACUUCACCACAGACACCAACCGAAUACUGCCACACCUUACCGCCUCCUCCAUUUGUGAACACCACUGCAAUCACCAAUAUCACCACCGUCAGCAUCACCACCUCACCAUCACCAUUACCAUUACCAUCACCACGAGCACCAUUAUCGUCAGCACCACCACCAUCAUUUGCAAAACACCACCAACAAUCAAGAGAAAUCACCCCAAAAGAAAACCACCUAUAGUAGAUCGGAUUCAAAAAUCACCAACAAAAUUCAACAACCACCAACAAAUCAUCCACACCACUGCACAUAUAUUGGAAUUAAUAGGGACACAGAUCGGUACUUUGCAAUGGACAAAAGAUUGAGACUCCCUCCUACACCCCAAAAUGGUUCCUCGAAGCGAGGUGCAAGCAGAGGUGCCUCUGUGCGUGGCACCUCGCUGGUGUCUCAAAGCAAGGUGUCGAUUUCUGAAAUAGAGAGGAUGAGGCGGGUGGAUAGAGAGAGACAGUGAUAAAGAAAGAUAAAGGAAGGAAGAGAAAGAGAAGAGAUUGUGAUAUGAUUUAGGGUUUUGAGGGUGAAAUUGGGUGGGAGUGGCGUGGUUACUUAAAUUUUUUAAAUUUCAGUCUACAUUUUUGAAAGUGUCCCAAUCGUGGGAACGUAGAUUAAUUUAAUAUUAUAACACUAUUAUUAAUAUUUAAAAUUUGAACUAUCACAUGAUUUAACAUACGUGGGGUAAAUUAAUCUACAUACCCACCCCAUCCCAUCUCAUCCCAUUCCAUUCCAUGUGCCCAUCAAAUUUCAUUCAUAAACCCUAAAUUAUAUAUAUAUAUAUAUAUAUAAAGGGGCUUCUACCAACGUCUUGCGUCCAGAUACCAACGAGUCAUCAUGUGCAAAGAUGCCUCUGUCUGCUCAUUGCUUCGAGUAACUAACGAGGUACCGUAUCUCUACCAGCUGGAGAGUAAUGGUGGAUUCAGGAUAUUGAGUUAGCUAGGAUGUCUAUUGACUCUUGACGGUCGCAAUAGUAAGAUUUUUUAUUAAUAUUUAAUUAAAUAAUAUUAAAAGAAUUUCAAUAAUGUAUAAAUACAAUAAAACGUAAAAGUCAUACACAUUUAAAAAUAUAAUCCAAUACAAACUAAAACAAUGAGAAAAAAAAAUACAUUUUCCAAUAACAUAUGCACGAUCAAGUUUCAAAUUUUGUUAUGUCCUUAAGCGAGAGAAGAUGAAGUUUAUACGUAAAGCAUGAUUUAACGAUUAAAGUAAUCUCUAAGCUAGGCGAAGGUUAUGGAAAAUUUUGAAAAUAAUGAUUUUUAAAAUUAGAAUAAUUUUUAAUCUCGAAAGAAAAAGUAUUUUUCAAACUCUUAAAAUAACAAAAACCAACAUCUAAAUUGUCCAAAUUUGAAUUUUAUAAAUUAAAUCUGUAAAACCUAACCAUAAAAGUAUAUAUAUUAUUGAGUAAUAAUUUGAGUCAAUAAAUUUUUUAAAGAAAUUAUUUCGAAAAUGAAAACUAAUAAUAUAUAAUUGCUUAGUCAUUAUUUAUUGUAUUAAAAAUUUAAACAAAAAAUGGGAGUAUAUUUAUUGUAUUAGAAAUUAUUUUAAAGGUUAUGCAAAAUUUUUAAAAUAAUGAUUUUUAGAAUUAGAAUAAUUUUUAAUCUCAAAAGAAAAAUUGUUUUUCUGAACUCUUAAAAUAAUUAAAAAAAACACACUUAGAGGCUGUUUGGGAGUGAUUUUGAGAAUUGAUUUUUUGAUCGUUAGAAGAAAAGUGGGGUCCACCCGUGAGAGAAGAAGUCAAAUAUGAUGGCCGAAAUAGUGAAAUAACGGUCAAAAAAUCAAUUUUUUGGAUAAAAAAUCAGGCCUAAACAGGCCCUUAAAUUGUCCAAUUUUGAAUUUUAUAAAAUAAAUUGGUAAAACCUAACAAUAAAAGUGUAUAUUUUAUGGAGUAAUAAUUCGAGUCAAUAAUUUUUUUAAAGAAAUUAUUUCGAAGAUGAAAACUAAUAAUAUAUAAUUGUUUAGUCAUUAUUUAUGGUAUUAAAAAUUUAAACAUAAAAAUGGGAGUAUAUUUAUUGUAUUAGAAAUUAUUUUGAAGGUUAUGCAAAAUUUUGAAAAUAAUGAUUUUUAUAAUUAGACUAAUUUUUAAUCUAAAAAAAAAAGUGUUUUUCCGAACUAUUAAAAUAAUAAAAAGCAACACUUAAAUUGUCCAAAUUUAAAUUUUAUAAAAUAAAUUGGUAAAACCUAACAAUAAAAGUAUAUAUAUUAUGGAGUAAUAAUUUGAGUCAAUAAAUCUUUUAAAGAAAUUAUUUCGAAAAUGAAAACUAAUAAUAUAUAAUUGUUUAAUCAUUAUUUAUUGUAUUAAAAGUUUAAACAAAAAAGUGGGAGUACAUGGAAUUAAACCCCAUGACUCUCACGUAUAAAGUGAUCCAUCAACCAUAGAAGUUACAUUCGCUUUUGUUGAAUGUUAAGACAACUGUUAGUUAAUAUUUAGUUAUUAUUUACUGUGUUGAAAAAUUAAAAGGAGGAAUGCUAUUGAAGGAAAUGGAACCUGUGUAUCAUUGCAUGGAAAAGCGAACGCUCUUCCAUACGAGCUACAUGUCAUUCCGUUCAAAGUUAAUGUAGUAACGUAUAUGUAUGUGUGUGUGUGUCUAUAUAUAUAUUACAAUAAUUUUCGUUAAUCAUUUUUCUGGACAGAUCCAGCCCGGGUGGUCGCACCAGCUCGCCAGGUGCUGAUCCACCCCCAUUGGGGAGUUGGAGAGAGUGUCAUUCUACAGUUGCACAAUGUCGAUCUACUAUCCCUUGUAAAGUGUUGAACUGAUGUACCUGCUAGUGUGAUCUGCGUGCAGCGAUGUGGGUGAUUUGUUGGAGUUUGUUGAUGGUUUGCUUAAUAGUUUUCUGAUUCAUUCUACUGCUUAGUCGAAGGAUGGUUGGUAUUUUUUGCAAUGGUGGUGAUGGUGUUCGCUAUAAUGAUGUUUACUGUGAUGAUGGUGGUGAGGUUAUGGUGUGGACGACGAUGGUGAAGGUGCUGAUGGUUAUUGCAAUGGUGGUCACAAAAUGGGGGUAACAGUAGUGGCAAUGGCAACAAGUGGUGAGGUGAGACAACAUUCAGUUGGCAUCUGUUAAAGAAUAGGUUAAUUUCACAAACGAUCACUGAACUUACAGAAAAAUUAUAAAACGGUCACUGAAGUUUAAAACUUUCAAUAACGGUCACUUAAGUAUUGGGAUACUUUCAAAAAUGGCCACUAAAGUUUAAAAAGUUUUUGAAACGGUCGCUGAAGUUGAAAAAUACUUUUUUAGUUUUUUUUGUUACAUUUGCGACAAGUUUUCGGCUACUUUCAACCACCGAUACCAUCGAAUUUUGAUAUCGUUGGAAAGCCCACAAUGUCCUCUUCAAUUACCAUUCAAAAUCUCUCCGUAAUACCAAGGAAUUCGACCGAAAAAUCACCGCAAAAGUCGCUCCAAAAAAAUCUGAAAAUAUGCCCAAAUUUUCAGAUUUUUGGGCUACAUUUACGGCAAUUUUCCAGCAAAUUUCGACCACCAAGACCACCGAAUUUUGAUACUGUUGGAAAUUCCACAAUGUCCUCUUCAAUUACCAUCCAAAAUCUCCUCCAAACUCCAAAGGAUUCAGCCGUAAUAAACCCGCAAAAUCGGCAUCCCAAAAAGGUGAAAAUCUGGGAUGUCAACUUUGUGAGUUUAUUCCGGCCGAAUCCUUUGGAGUUUUGGGGAGAUUUUAGAUGCUAAUUAUAGAGGACAUUGUAAGCUUUCCAACGGUAUCAAAAUUUGGCUAUUUUGAUGGUCGGAAGUUGUCAAAAAAUCGCCACAAAAAUCCACCAAAAAUCUGAAAAUUUGGACAGAUUUUUGCCUUUUCGGGUAGCCAACUUUGUGGGUUUAUUCCGGCCGAAAUCUUUUGAAUUUGGGGGAGAUUUUUUUUAAUUGAAGAGGACAUUGUAGGCUUUCCAACAGUAUCAAAAUCCGAUGGUAUCGAUGGUCGGAAGUGGUCGAAAAAUUGCAGCAAAAGUAGCUCAAAAUUUUUUAUAUUUCAGUCUACAUUUUUGAAAGUGUCCCAAUACUUAAGUGACCGUUACUGAAUGUUUUAAACUUCAGUGACUGUUUUGUAAUUUUUCUGUAAGUUCAAUGAUCGUUUGUGAAAUUAACCCGUUAAAGAAUGGGAAUGGGGUGCACUGGUAUGGUGUGGUAUGGGUUAGGGUAAAAUUUUUUUAGUUGUGAUUAAUANNNNNNNNNNNNNNNNNNNNNNNNNNNNNNNNNNNNNNNNNNNNNNNNNNNNNNNNNNNNNNNNNNNNNNNNNNNNNNNNNNNNNNNNNNNNNNNNNNNNNNNNNNNNNNNNNNNNNNNNNNNNNNNNNNNNNNNNNNNNNNNNNNNNNNNNNNNNNNNNNNNNNNNNNNNNNNNNNNNNNNNNNNNNNNNNNNNNNNNNNNNNNNNNNNNNNNNNNNNNNNNNNNNNNNNNNNNNNNNNNNNNNNNNNNNNNNNNNNNNNNNNNNNNNNNNNNNNNAUAAAAAUGCUUAUCACUGCCAACACCAGCUGAAACUAUAAUUCAAAUUGUAAAAAUCAAAAAACAAAUAAAUAAUAAAACUAUGAUUAGUCUCAUAUCAAGAAAUUCAACCAUUACUUCGAGAUUGUGCUUUUGACCUUGUUCACAAAGUUGAGUGGUCGAAGAAUAAAAGGAAGCAGAGAUUUGACGAGUUUGUAAUUCAACUGUUACACCAAGAUAUCAGUACAAAACCAGAAAAUAAACAAGAAAUAUAUUACAAGAAAAAAUGGCAGAAGAAUAAAUCCUCAGCCGUUCACUGAAACUCGAACCACACGUCAUCCAGAUGAAGGUCCUUUCAUUUAUGGGGCUUAGACUCAAGAAAAUACAGGAUUGUACCCGUCUGUAUGACCCACACCGAUCGCCCCAAACCCUAAGGUUUUCCUCUAUCAGAUUAAAGGAAACCACAAGGGUAAAUCACACACCAAUCCCUCCAAUACACUUAGUCUUUAGUAUCACAAAGAAAAAUCACUCAGAUUUCAGAUUCAAUCAGAGAUUGGAUAGUCACGAAGAAGGAAGGGUUUGGAAAGAUCUCGAAGCACAGCCGCAGCUGAAGAGAGGAGUAAAAUGAUGGUCCAACUGAAUUAGGGCAAGAGGUGGAAAUAUAUAUAUAUCCAACCAAGGCAGCCGUAGAUCAGAUUUUAAUCCAACGGUCAGGGGGCUCUCAGUGAUCUGAAGAAAAACGUGUUUAUUGGCUGCGUUAAAAACGCCACGCCAAAAACACGUUUUAUCUACCUUUGGGCCGGGGCGAAUCAGGGUCAAGUUAUUGGGCAAGAGCCUAGAGUAUUAAAAUAGUUAUUUGGGCUUUAGCCCAUUUGUCAUCACAGCCCAGAAAGGUUAUUGGUCAUCACAGCCCAACAACCUCCACCUUGAUGCCAAUGGGAUUUCUGAACACUUGCAGCCCUUCUAUUGACACCAAAUUUGUACCUGCAUUUAAAGAAUUAACCUGUAUCAAUAUUCAAAAGUGCCAAACAUGAUUUAAACUUAGAAAGAGGCAAUACCUUUGUCCCCAUGUCUGAUGGAUUGUACUGUGUAGGAAUUUUUUCAAGAAUAACAUAUUCAUUUGAGACAAUAUCUCUAAUAAAAUGUAACUUUACAUCUAUGUGUUUAGUUCUUUCAUGAAAAACAGGAUUCUUACACAAGUGUAUUGCACUUUGGCUAUCUGAAUAAACAACUACAGGUUCAUUUAACAUCCUAAUUUCAGAUAAUAGUCCCUUAAGCCACAAAGCUUCCUUCACAGCUUCUGUGGCAGCUACAUACUCAGCCUCUGUGGUUGAUAAAGCAACUAUAGGCUGUAAUUGGGACUUCCAACUCACACAGGUACCACAAAGAGUGAACAUAUAGGCAGAAGUGGACUUUCUAUGGUCCCUAUCACUAGCAAAAUCAGCAUCCACAAAGCCUUUAAGUGUUAUUCCUUCAUUACCUCUUUUAUAUACUAAUCCUAUGCUAGAAGUGCCUUUUAAGUACCUAAGUAACCACUUAAGUGCUUCCCAAUGUUCGGGAUCAGGAUUAGUCAUAAAUCUACUUAAAGUGCUGAUUGCAUGAGCCACAUCAGGUUUGGUACAGACCAUGGUAUACAUUAUAGACCCUACAGCAUUAGCAUAUGGAACCUUUUCCAUGUACCUUAUAUCAGAUUCAUCAAUUGGGCAUUGCUCUUUACUUAAUUUGAAAUGACUAGCUAAAGGCAAANNNNNNNNNNNNNNNNNNNNNNNNNNNNNNNNNNNNNNNNNNNNNNNNNNNNNNNNNNNNNNNNNNNNNNNNNNNNNNNNNNNNNNNNNNNNNNNNNNNNNNNNNNNNNNNNNNNNNNNNNNNNNNNNUUACAUCCAUUUGUUCUAAUUCCCAAUUGUGAUGUGCAACUAAUGCUAGUAGGACUCUUAUAGUUGUGUAUUUUACAACGGGUAAAAAUAUCUCAUUGUAAUCUACACCCUGUUUUUGUGUAAACCCUUUAGCAACUAAUCUUGCUUUAAAUCUCACAGGCUCAUUAUCUGAACUGCCUUCUUUCACCUUGUAAAUCCAUUUACAGUCAACUAUGGAUUUAUUUUUGGGUCUAGGCACAAGAUCCCAAGUUUUAUUCUUCAUUAGAGAACUCAUCUCUUCUCUCAUGGCAACUUCCCACUUGCCAGACUGGUUACAACUCAUGGCUUCACUAUAGGUCUUAGGUUCCUUAUAGGCUAGGUCAUUAUAAGACAUGACAGAAUAGGAUAGAUAAUCUUCAUAUCUUGUAGGUUCUCUUAUGUUCCUUCUAGGCCUAUCCCUAGUCAAUUGAUAGUCACUAAGAUCACUUUGUUGAUUGGGAUCAUACAUUUCAGUUUGUUCAUGUUUCUCCACACCUGAAUUUUCUAAUUCAGUUUGAGUCUGAGGUAGUGUAGGUUCAUUUUCUCUCACAUUAUCAGGAACAUAAUCAGUUUGAGAUCCCAACUCCACCUGAAACCUUGUCACACUUGGGUUUUCAGGGUCUGCAGACUUUUGUUUUUCUAAACAGGGCAUCUCUUCCUCAUUGAAGGUAGCAUCUCUACUUGUUAUCAUUUUAUACCCCCUUGACCUCUAGCCCAUAAUCUAUAGCCCUUAAUUCCUUCAGGAUAACCUAAGAACACACAUUUCUGAGCCAUUGGCUCCAGUUUUCCCAAAUUCUGGUGACAAUAAGCUGUACACCCGAAUAUUCUAAGGUGGGAAUAGUCUGGUAUUUUCCAGACCUCUUCUCUUCAGGUGUCUUACCUUCCAAAGCACUAGAAGGGGUUCUAUUCACUAUAUAUGUAGCUGUCAUUACAGCCUCCCCCCACAACACCUUAGGAACUCCUGAUCCCAUCAUCAUACACCUAACCUUAUCCAACAAGGUCUUAUUCAUUCUCUUAGCCACCCCAUUCUAUUGAGGUGUGUAUGGGACAGUUUUGUGUCUUAGGAUUCCAUUUGAUUCACAAAGUUUAUCAAAUUCUGAGUUGCAAAAUUCAAGUACAUUAUCAGUUCUCAAAAUUUUAAUCUUUGUAGACAUUUGAUUUUCAAUAAGAACUUUCUAGCUUUUAAACUUUUCAAAGGUUUCAGAUUUGUGCUUUAGUAGAAACACCCACACCUUUCUUGAAAAGUCAUCAAUUAUUGAGAGGAAAUAGUUAUUUCCCCCUGGAGUAGUUGUGGAGGUUGGACCCCACAAAUCUGAGUGGACAUAUUCCACUGGAGAAGUAGUUUUAUGUUUUUCAGAAUUAAAAUGGAGUCUGUGAUGUUUGCCAAAAGUGCAGCUUUCACAGAACGGUGUUUGUGAUAUUUGGUCCUUACCAAAUACCCCCUUUUAUGUAGGAUUGUGAGGCCUUUUUCACCAACAUGUGCAAGCCUCUUAUGUCAUUUUAAGGUGGAAUCAGAUUUAGUAUUAGAGAUAGUUGAAUUAUUUUCAAGUAUUAUUUCAGCUCUAACUACAUAGAUUCCAUUUUUCUUGACACCCUUAAAGAUGACAAGAGAUCCCUUGAUCACUUUCAUCAAUCCAUCCCUAAUCCUACCACACAGCCCUAGGUCAUCUAAUUCUCCCAUAGAGAUCAGAUUUCUUUUAAGUUCAGGAACAUACCUCACUCUCUCUAGGGUAUACAAGUAUCCAUUUUCAAAUUUUAGGGUCACAUUACCUAGUCCUUCAACUCUGCAGGCAAUAUUAUUCCCCAUCACCACUUCACCAUCAGCUAACUUCUUAAAAUCUUGAAGCCAGGACCUUUCAUGUGUAAUAUGAAAGGUACAACCUGAGUCCAAAAUCCACUCAUGAACAUAUCUAUUGUGGGCAUAAUUUGCCACCUCCAGAUNNNNNNNNNNNNNNNNNNNNNNNNNNNNNNNNNNNNNNNNNNNNNNNNNNNNNNNNNNNNNNNNNNNNNNNNNNNNNNNNNNNNNNNNNNNNNNNNNNNNNNNNNNNNNNNNNNNNNNNNNNNNNNNNNNNNNNNNNNNNNNNNNNNNNNNNNNNNNNNNNNNNNNNNNNNNNNNNNNNNNNNNNNUAUAGCAUUAAGAAGUAUUACUGCUUUAUAUUCUUCAGAAAUUUUAACCCCUGCAUUGGUGAUAUCUUGUACCAAUUUAUUAAAGGUAUCAAGAUUAUCAUCCAGGUCUUUGGUUGGAACAAUCUUAAAACUAAAAAACCUUUCUAGAAGAAAGAGUUUAGUAGGUAAGGAUUUCACUAAGUACAGUUCCUCUAAUUUCUCCCAUAAGGCCUUAACAUUUUCUAAUUUCCCUACUUUCCUUAGCACUUGGUCAGAUAGGUGGAUAAUUAUUGAGGUAUAGGCUAGGUCAUUUGAUUCAGUUUUCUGAUCUUGUGUCAUUGUUUCAGGAAACUCUCCAGUUAUUGCCUUAGAGACUUUUUGUUGUACUAAAACCCCUCUCAUUUUUUGCUGCCAUAUUGGAAAAUCUCCCUUCCCAUUAAAGACCCCAAGUUCAAAACUAGUGGAAGUCAUUUUCUAGAUCAAACAGGUCACACUCAGUAAUUUCUAAUUUGAUCACAACAUACAAGUGAGGAAAAACAGAGAUUCUUCAUAUCACAGGCAAAGCAACAUACUGUGUGUAAGUGCCGAAAUAACAAUUUAAAAUACACACAGUCUUCAACACCAAGUUAAAGAAAUCAACUACCCUGCCCUACCAGGAUUCCGUGAGACUCAAGAUCUCAGGUCAAAGCUUGGGUGAAGGGUAGAGGUUUUGUUUUAUAAAAAAAAAGAUUAAGAGAGAUAUUAAUACAGAAUAUAAGAACAGAACACACAGUUGCAAUCUUCAAGCACAUCAAGAAUCAGUAACUAAAACACAAGUAUAUUUCAAUACUUUUAUCAGAUGAAUAUAGGCAGAAUAACUUUUAACACAAAGAUAUACUGCAAUACUUUCAUCAAACAGAUGUAGGCAGAUUCACGCUAAGUACACAAGCAUACUGCAUUACUUUUAACAAAAAACAAGUAUAGACAGUUUUAAUGCUUAAGUACAAAGUUCCAAAUUCACAAAACAAUUAACAAGAAAAAUUACCAAUCAACUAAGACAUGUAACGAAAAAAUCAGGCAGUAAAGUUUUGAGUUCAAGAAUUAAACCACAGUGGUGGUCAUUUCACUUGACCACACGCAGUUUCCACGAAGGCGGCAGUCAACAGUACCCAAACUCGAACAACUCAAAUAACCGAAGCAGUUUUUCACCAAGAAAAAAUAGAUUUAUCACAAAGAACAUCGAGAUCUAGGGUUUUGACUCUAAAAAGAAUUUACCAGAUCACUGUAUCAGGUAAGAACGUGGUUUGAUUUACCCACACGAGCCAGAGGAAGGCUCUGAUACUACUGUUACACCAAGAUAUCAGUACGAAACCAGAAAAUAAACAAGAGAAAUAUUACAAGAAAAAAUGGCAGAAGAACAAAUCUUCAGCCGUUUACUAAAACUCGAACCACACAGCAUCUAGAUGAAGGUCCUUUCAUCUAUGGGGCUCAGACUCAAGAAAAUACAGGAUUGUACCCGUCUGUAUGACCCACACCAAUUGCCCCAAACCCUAAGGUUUUUCUCUAUCAGGUUAAAGGAAACCACAAGGGUAAAUCACACACCAAUCCCUCCAAUACACUUAGUAUUUAGUAUCACAAAGAAAAUCACUCAGAUUUCAGAUCCAAUCAGAGAUUGGAUAGUCACGAAGAAGGAAUGGUUUGGAAAGAUCUCGAAUCACAGCCGCAGCUGAAGAGAGGAGUAAAAUGACGAUCCAGCUGAAUUAGGGCAAGAGGUGGAAAUAUAUAUAUCCAACCAAGGCAGCCAUAGAUCAGAUUUUAAUCCAAUGGUCAGGGGGCUCUCAGUGAUCUGAAGAAAAACGUGUUUAUUAGCUGCGUUAAAAACGCCACGCCAAAAACAAUUUUUAUCUACCUUUGGGCCGGGGCGAAUCAGGGUCAAGUUAUUGAGCAAGAGCCUAGAGUAUUAAAACAGUUAUUUGGGCUUUAGCCCAUUUGUCAUCACAGCCCAUAAAUGUUAUUGGUCAUCACAGCCCAACAUCAACCUUGGUGGAGGGUGAUGAAACUGGGAUUCAAGACGAGAGGGUGGUGCCUAUGGUCUAGUUUCAUGGGCUUAUCAACAAGAAAGGCUCUAAUUAUUGCUAUUGAACCAAAGUAAUAAACAUGAUGUAGCAUACGGUUUUGAGAAUUUAUUGACCUAAUCAAUAAACAAUCAAAUGGUCAACUCAGACAAUUACAACUAUAUACAGGAUCAGAUACAAAGAUAACCAAAUCUUUCCUUACAAAAUAAUGCAAGACAAAACACAAAAACUAAAAUAUCUACUGCAGUUUUAAUCACAAAUUUUAUCAAACAUUAACUAGAACUAUACGUCAAAUUAUAGCCAAUUGUAUAAAUCAGUCAAGAGAUUGAUGUAGAUUUUAUCACAAAAUGAGACGCAUUUCGGUUUCAUGCAAGACUUGGAAAUGGAAUUGGAAUAUGUUUUUCCAUCUACAAAGACAUGGUUAUAUUACUAACCCAGUGUCUUGAAGAUGCAAGAUAACUAAAAUGUUGUGUAACUAACACCAAUACGUAAUUAUAUUGAGAACUAGAGCUCGAAACUCAAUUUUGGAGCUUAUUAGCUGUGUCACAUUUGAGUGGAGCUCGUUGGCUAUUUUAUAAGCACACAGUGUGAGACUACAUAUAAGAUGCCACAAAUACUCUACCCGCAAAAAUGUAGAUUUGUGUGCUUAUAAAUGCCACAGAUACUCUACACACAAAGUGUUAAAAACAAUCACACACUUUGCAUGUUUAUAAGAAAGUCAAUAUGCUCCACCAAGGUCACUAAUAGAAUUAGAUAUAAUAUUGAGGCAAAUUAAACUGUCAGAAUAAAUAAUAAAGGCAAUAGCAUACGUUCUAAAUCUAUUAGAUCAUAGCAAUGACUUUUUAACUAGCCAUUUCUCUUUUUUAAUCUAAUUUUCUAAUUUAUUUUAGGACAACUUGUGCCCAUGGCUUACAAGCCAUGACCUCACAAAAUGCAUGAAUAAAAUAUGACCGUUAUCCAUCACAUUAUUUGUAUAAGACCCAUAACGACUAUAUUUUUCAUUCUCAUCCUUACAUUAAUCGAAAACAAACGGGGCAUAAAUUCCGUACUAAUAAAAUAUGUUUCAUUAAUCAACGGAAGUCUAGACUGCUGAUGAAUUUUAUAUGAUAGCAUUAUUAUGUUAAGCUUGUGUCUAGUCCACAAUUUCUUUCCUUUUUUUUUUUUUGAUAGAAUCAAUUUUCAUUAACAAUCAUUUGAAGGUCCAUUCGCAUUUCAUGUUUUUUGCAAGACAAAUUGUGACACCGAAGAAACAUAACAUCUCAUCCCAUCAAUACUUUUGCUUUUUAAUAAUGACAUGUUUGCCCUGUUCGGAUUUUCAAUUUGAUGUGUAAUUUCAUGACACAAUCACAUUGUAGAGUAACUUUUUGGCCCAAGAUACACCAAAGUCAUAGGUUUCGUUUCUUUAAUGGAAAGGGUAAUAUAAUUUUUGGAUAUGCUUAUCGAGGGACACAUUUGGUACUUCAAAGGAAAGUGUGCACAAGGGUGUCAACUUUUGGACCACUAUUACUAAUUUCAAAUUUUCAAAUUUCAUAGCAAAUUCUACUAAAAAUCUUAUUUCUAACAAAACCAGACAUGGGCGAAGUAACAUGAUAAAAUGAAGAUAAUUCUCUCAAUAUUUAUAAGGGGAAGCUAACCUGACACGACUUGUCCCGAUUUAACCUAAUUGACUCGACACGUGUUGUGCGCCGAUGGUAGAUGCCAGCUAAAUGCCGGACCCACCACCAAGGCAAAUGUGACCUACUUGACCAUGACAUAAUUCUAUAAAAAUUUUGACAGAGUUUUCCUUGUAACAUGGACAAAACCAACCUGAAAAAUCAUCAAAAUCUCAAAUAGACAUUUAAACCAAAAGUUUUGGAAACCACCACUGCCUCUAAUAACACCACAACUACUACAAAAUAUAACAAAAUUCGACUGAGUGCUUCUACAACAUCAUCAUGUCAACAUGCAAGCAUUACAUUAAUUACCAACCUUUCUACGAAGUGCAUGACACACCAAAUAUUAGACAAGUACUUAAUAAACAUGAGUUCCCCAACUAUACAUUACAUACUAUGAAAUGGCCUCUUUUGCUUCAGCAGGCUUUUCUCAGUAUCUCAAAAAUCAAUGGUCUCCUGAUAGGAAAAACAUGACAAAAAUAUGAGUUUGUAACUCAGUGAGUGAAUGAUUUCUAAAUAAGUAAACUUUUUCCAUUUAUGCAUAUUUUUUUAAAAUUCUUACUUUAUUAAAUCCUUGAGGAUUUCUGAAUCUACUAAUACUUUUAAAAACUAAACAUGAUUACAUUAUAAAAUUCUUUGUUCUAAAUUCUAGAUAAGUAUCUGUAAGGUAUAACAAAUAUAAAGAAUCUGAUAUUCAUGAAAAUCUAUGAAAUAUUGCUGCUGCUCAAUAGUAUAAGCUGAAAGCUUUAUUCUGAAAACUGAAUUAACUGACUUUCAUAAUCUGAAAUCUGAGAACUGAAUAAAUACUGAAAAAUCACACCAAAAAGAGUAUCCAAUGAAUAGCGUUACUCAUGUACAGAGUAAUCUCAAUGUACAAGCCAAAGCCAUUCAAAUCUGAUAAUCUGAUCGCUGAUAAUCUGGUCAUACGUACGCAGAGCUGCCCCAAAGGCUAGUCACCCUAGUACACGGUCCAAAGCCCAUGUGUGUACGAGAGUGGGGCCCAAAGACCUAUGAUAAUUUGGUCAUACACUAUGGAAACACAUUCACGAUAGUGCAGAGCGGGUAAAAUCACUAUAACUAGUCAUACACUGUGGAAACACAUUCAUAUCAGUGCAAACUGGGGUAAAAUCACCUGGGUACUUUCUGGUGGUUUUUAGAAAUAACUUUAACUAUAUUGAAACACGUAAUAAGAAUAUAACAUGCUACUAGAAUAAUUUAACUGAACUGAAUUUAACUUUAAAAGAAAUUGAUAAUAAAAUCCAUUUUAUUCUGAAAAUCAUGCUAUGAAGUCAAUUUUAUAAAAUAAAUAACUUUAAAAUUUAAAGAAGACUUAUUUCUGAAAAAUAAGUUUUAUCCACUCACAAGGUAUGAGCUACAAGCUAGAUUGGCUGAUAAACGUUUCCAAUUUCCUCGCCACCACCUGAAAUACGAUAUUAAUAACCAAUUUAUCCUCUAUCUAAUCAAGAAACCUUAAUAUCUAAUGAUAGAACUUAAAAUUAAAUUUUCUGGACACUUGAAUAAGUUCUCAAAUUUUCCUUUAUUAAUUGGAGCUAAUCACACUUUAUAAUCCAUUGACUAAUAACUAAUUUAUCAACAUAACCUUCACUUCCAAACAUCACUAUGACAUCCACAUCAUUCAAGUGACAAGAAGUUGCUAUAAUUCAACUAAUUAAAAUUUUCCUCUUGUUCCAUAAUUUCAUGCUUCCAAUUAAUUAUUUUCUCAACAUCAUCAUUUCCAUAAACAUACUUAAUCCCAAAAAUCCCAAAUAAAAUUUCUAGGGUUUGCUAAAAUAAUAUCCCUUACGUAGCUGAAAUUGGAAAUGAAGAAAUCCUCAAACUUGAGCUCCAAUUCGUACAAAUAUCACCUAAAAUUUGACAUUUUAUUCUACAAGUUAAAACUCUAAAAAUUUAAUAUAAAUCAUACUUAAUCACUCGAAAACAAGUGAAAAAAUUAAACCCAACUUGAAGAGAUUAACCUCACCUCUUUUCUUCUUCUUUUUCCUUUCUUCUUUUCCUUUUCCUUUUCCUUUUUCCUUUCUUCCUUCCCUUCCGCCGGUCUCUG
RNAcentral lists this long non-coding RNA (53322 nucleotides) under Olea europaea (common olive). Its description in RNAcentral is "long non-coding RNA (OEUR_LNC011054)". Lineage: Eukaryota; Viridiplantae; Streptophyta; Magnoliopsida; Lamiales; Oleaceae. The record is from RNAcentral.